CUGCAGCGCAUCUGGAUCGGUCAUCGUCUAUUCGUCUAAUCAAGCUAGCUAGCUUGACGCUGCAGAAAAGAAGGCAAGGAGGCAGCAGCCGGGAAGGAACGGGCUGGAUCAAAUUCCUGAGCAGCCGGCAUUUCGACCUAGAAGCCCAACACGGAGCCCGCAUGGUGAGCACGGCCCACCCAAGAGUCCGGGCUCCCCUCACUUGGGCCUACGCGGGGUCACCGAAAUCCGAAGUCGUCCGGCAGGAAUUUGUUUGGACUCGUCCAACGGUCACUUGCCGGUCUGUCGCGCAGGCUCGCUCGCAGUCGCAGAGUCGUAGCUCGCACGCCUGACAGGCCGUGCCGUUGUGCAUUCAAAUUCCGCACCGACGCGCCGGGCUGUACAGCGACCCGCCGCUCCUUCACGAACUCCACGGUCUACCCCACUUCAUGCGGGGCCAGCGCGCCGCGUAACCGUCCUGUCAGUGACUGAUGGGCAUCACUUUCCAGUAGAUCAGUCGUUGUUUUUUAAUUUUGCGACGGAUAUUCGCGCAUUUAAUUCUACGAGUAUAAAACCGACUAACCGUAGACCUGCUAGAGCCGUAGUAGUCCGUAGAGAGUCCGUCGGUGGAGUGGAGGCUCGUAGUACGACCGAGCCGAGCAACAUGGUCCCACAGGUCGCUGGUCGAUCAGCUUGGCUUUGACAGCUGCUGGAUAUAAGAUUUUUUUAUAGUCUUUUUACAGCCUACUUAGGCCCUGUUUAGUUUCCUACCUAAAAUUUUUUCAUCCAUCCCAUCGAAUCUUUAGACACAUGCAUGGAACAUUAAAUGUAGAUAAAAAAAUAAACUAAUUACACAGUUUAGUUAAGAAUCGCGAGACGAAUCUUUUAAGCCUAGUUACUCCAUGAUUAGCCUUAAUUGCUACAGUAACCCACAUAUGCUAAUGACAGAUUAAUUAUGCUUAAUAAAUUUGUAUUGCAGUUUCCUGACGAGCUAUGUAAUUUGUUUUUUUAUUAGUUUCUAAAAACCUCUCCCGACAUCCUUCCGACACAUCCGAUGUGAUACCCAAAAAAUUUUCGUUUCCCAUCUAAACAGGCCCUUAUAUAAUACUCACAGAUUUUCUUGGUUUUUGAGUAGUUAAUAUAUGACCCAUAUGUCUCACAGACUUUUUUGGUUUUUGUGUCUGAGCCGGCUGUAAGUUUACAGCCCGCUUUUACUUUCUCUCCUCCACCACAGCAUUUAGUAGGCUUACAUCCUACUGUAAUACUACUCGCUCUGACGCGAGCGACGCCGACGAGAGGAGAGGAGAGGAGACAGGAUCCCCGACCCGCUCCGCAUGCCGGGGCAAGGGCUGGUCCUCGUCUCCUCGUCGGCCGGGCUGGUCACCGGUGUGGUGUGGGGCCAGCCGGCAGCCGCCCCUCCCUCCCGCAGCCCCAGGGGGUUUGAAUACUGUACGUGGGAGGCGAGGCAAAGGCAGCGUCGGGUCGGGCUCCUUUUUUUUUUGUGACUCUUUUCGCUUUCUUUCGGGGGGAAUAAAACGCUCCCCCAGAUUUUGAACGUUGAAGCUCUUGACUCGAGCGCACCAAAAAUGAACGCUUUUCGCGUAAAGCUAAAGCUUACACGACGACUACACGACUAGUAUUACUACUAGUAGUAGUAAAGAAAUUUGAAAUAUUCCGCUCUUUCGCGUGUACAACAAAUGGAGACCCGAGUAGAGCAUGGGCCGGGCGUACCUACCGUGUCCUCUCGAUACGUGACCGUGUCGUGAAGUGCUGCACAGGGCGCGUUGAUUAGAUCCUGUAAACACGAGGGCAAGCAAUCUAUGGGUAAUCACGGCAAGGAAGGAACAGUGGCAGCACCGGCGGGUGCAGAGCUGUCAGCUCGUCCUGGCCCCUGGCCGGCCUGGCCUCCUCCGGAGGGCAACUUGCGGCAAGUGACCUUCUUGACCGGCCCUUCGAGCCGUCUCUCUCCCCCCUCCCUGUCCUGCGGCCUCGCAUUUACACCGCGCCUCCCUAGGCCAGCGGUAACAGCAGGUCGCACAGCCAGCCAGGCGGCAGCCAGCUGCGAGCGGCGAGUUCUUUAAGGAGGCGGCAGGCCGGUGCCGGUGCCUUUGCCUUGGCGUGGAGUGGAGUGGCCUGCCUCCCAUAGGCUACAGCCUUCCCGGAGAAGACAAGCAAAGCGAGCGCCGCACCAUUCCGUUCUUGUCCGUUGUUCCUGCUCCCUUGCUGCUGCUGCUUCUCGGAGCCACUAGUUGCUGCCGUGCUGUGCUGCCUCUUCGUACUGUGAGUGAGAGUGUGAGGGCGGAGGGCCGCAGCCUGAGCGGGAGAAGAAGAAGAAGAAGAAGAAGAAGAAGACCGCGGCGGGAGAGAGAUGAGCGUGACCAAGUUCAUCAAGUGCGUCACAGUCGGGGACGGCGCCGUGGGCAAGACCUGCAUGCUCAUCUGCUACACCAGCAACAAGUUCCCCACGGUACGCCGACGCUUUCCUUCGCCGCGCCCAUCUCGUCGGCCUCGACCUUCAUGACCAGCCAUGAGAUUUCUGCUCGAUUUGGUUUCCCAUCCGUUUGGCUCGCUCGUUUCUUCUCACCUUCCAGUACAGAAAUGCUACGCAUUUUUUUUUUUUACAGUUUGGUUUUUAAUCCAAGCUACUCGUAGUAGUUGUUCCAUUGAUGCUUUCCAGCAUUAGCAGUAGUUAGGCAUUUACUCACUCACCAGUCACCAUCUGCUCCUGUCCGGCUGUCCCUUUCCUGGGAUGGAAGGGAAUGGGGAUCGUCAGCUCGCGAGGCGCAUUUCGUUCUCCGGUUGCUGAAAACCUGAAACUGACGGCGCCUCUGUUCGUGGUUCCUGACAGGAUUACAUCCCCACGGUGUUCGAUAACUUCAGCGCCAACGUCUCCGUGGAUGGCAACAUCGUCAACCUGGGCCUCUGGGACACUGCGGGUACUGCUGCUUCUUCCCUUUCUAAUGGUAAAUUGUUUACACGCGCACAGAAUCUGAAAGUGUUCCCUUCCUUCUCUGUUUCGUUCAGGGCAAGAGGACUACAGCAGGCUGCGGCCACUGAGCUACAGGGGCGCAGAUGUGUUCGUGCUGGCUUUCUCCCUCAUCAGCAGGGCCAGCUAUGAGAAUGUUCUUAAGAAGGUAUGGUGAUAGGAUCAAAAUGUGUGCUUGUCUUGCCUGGCGGGCAGUGUGUUUCUAAUUGUAGAUAGAGAACCCAAGUUGAAUUGUUUGUAGUGCCAGUGUCUGUGAAGGGAGAGGAUCCAGUCAUGAAAACAUCAAAAGUUCCAGUGUACAUUUCAGAUAUCUAAAUCUGACACAUUAUCAUAGCUGCAGUGGAGUUUUUUUCCCCUUUCUUGGGCCACCUUUGGCCAAUAUGCCUAGCAGUUUCUGCCUUUCAGAAUGUGGUUAUGAUGGCUGGAGCAUUAUGAAAUGAUCAUUCUAUUUCUGAACAAACAGUGGAUGCCAGAGCUUCGCAGAUUUGCACCCAACGUUCCGGUUGUUCUUGUUGGGACCAAGUUAGGUGAGGAAGUGUGCUGAACGUGACCUUAAUUCAUGGACUUUAAUGCCACAUAUUCGUCUGCGUGAUUGUUCUUCCAAGAUCCAAUUCCAAUAGCUAAUUAAGGCAUUUGGUUGGGCUGUCCAGAUCUCCGUGACCACAGAGCCUACCUUGCUGACCAUCCUGGAGCUUCGACAAUCACAACGGCACAGGUUCGCUGAAUGCCACCAGCAGAUAGUUGUUAGAAGUGCGAUACAAUUUCUCUUAAUUCCUCUUCCUCUUGGUAUGCAGGGUGAAGAGCUGAGGAAGCAGAUUGGUGCUGCAGCUUACAUCGAGUGCAGUUCCAAAACCCAGCAGGUAGUCAUGACCCAUGUGGAAUGAUUUUGAUUGGUUAUGUCCUGUUUCAAAUACGGUUAGCUGUUUGGCAAUUAAAAUUAGACAUGUAUGGAUUGUUGGUAAUAGACAAUUUUACUGACUUUUUGUCUGAUUAUGUGGCCACACUAGAAUGUCAAGUCUGUCUUCGAUACAGCCAUUAAAGUGGUCCUUCAACCCCCACGGAGAAGGGAGGCAAUGCCUGCCAGGAAGAAAAACAGGCGUGGCUCCGGAUGCUCUAUAAUGUAAGCUUCAUCUUUCCACCGUAUACUAAUUGGUAAUGUAAGCUUCAUCUUUCCACCGUAUACUAAUUGGUCAUAUGAUGGUAAUAGUAGUCCGCUAAUAGUGAUUACAAUCCAGUGAAAUAUCCAUUUAUCAGAAAACCCAGCAUAUACCUACUAUUAUGUCGAGAAGGCGUCUGGUUCAUCUACUUCUGUUCAAACUUAAAACAAAACAUUUGGAACAACUUUUGUUUUAAAAGAUGAUUUACUGAUGUGACCUUUUUUGUGUCUUGCCCGCAGGAACCUUAUGUGUGGCAGCACAUGUGCUGCUUAGGAGUCUUAGAACACUGAACUGGAAGGAGGUGAAGGCGUGAUGCAUGGUGUGUAUGUUGUGCCAAACUGGCAAGUUAAUUUGCUAUAGAAUGGGACCGCAUGGAUGACUGCUGCUUUUGUUUUCCUUAGCUCAUCUGCUGUAUGCUUGGGUUUUUUAGGCGUAGUGCGUCAGGCUCUUCAAGUACUGACUUUUACCAGACUGCUGUGUUAUGUAAGAAGUUUGCUAGACGAGGAUUGCUGUAACUGUAAUAUGUUCUCCGAGAGGGAUGUGGUAUAACUAAGAUACAAGUAAGCUUGAGCGUGUUCUGCACUGUGAAUGGGCGGGGCUAUAUUGUGUUGCUUUGCUAAAUAUUCUGUGAAGCUAGAUGAGGUAAAUCGUAUGUUCACGAUCCAUUUAGGCGUAUGGUAACGUCAUGGCUGCGUCGGUUUGGUCCAAGCUUGGAAUUUCAAUUCCUCAAAACACUCCAGCGAGCAAACAAACAACGCAGUUCAGACCCUGGAGUCAAGCCUGCUCUGAUUGUGAAAGGGAUCUUUGACAGUGACAUUGUUUAACGGCACAUUACAAUCAGGCUCGCAGCUAUGUAAUUUAUUCCCAUCCUCAGCGUUUUCAUCAUCCGAUAGAGGUGCAACUUGCCUUUCGCCGGCUCAUUUGCUCAACAAGUCCCUCAGCUUUUCGGUGGCUGACCUCAGUUCGGCAGCGAUGCCUACUUCAUUGGCCGAGUGCCCUGCAUCCGGUACCACCUGCAACAUAGGCGGUCAAAUUAUCGAUGUUGAGGCACAAUUCUAAAAAACUGGUGAAUUUACCAAGGUCCAUUCUGAAUAUUGCCUAAGCGUUACAUAAGUUGAACCAUGACUUUCAUAAAGGAAGAUAUGUCAUUUCUACCAAAAAAAUGAUUGUUUGCAACCAUCUAAGCAAAAUAUCGAGUGACCCAUAUGCGGGUUCAAAGGCCAAACCACUAAUCAACCACUUGCAUCCCUAAUAGCAUGCUGUAUCUUGUCAAAGCAAGCCAAACAUGUGAGGCAUGAAUAGUCAUGGCAAAUCUGAGUCAAAUAGACAUGUCUAUAAGACUAUAACUAAGUGCUACACACUACGUACGAAACACACCAUGUCUUCCUGCUUCAGUUUGGUAGCCAUAUAUUACCAAAAAUCUUAUAUAUGACUUAAAAAGAUUGUCAUUGCUUGAUGAUGCCUUAUGUCAAUGAUGGGAAAACAAUUGAUGACAGUAUGACACCAACUUCCGCCACUGGUUCAUUCAGAAACCAAGCUCUUAAAAAAACUAUUUUGGUGCUUCAAUAUAAUAAUCCUAUUAAAUCGCUGUUCUUACAUGAAUAUCGUAUAUAGUAUAGUUGGAGGAAUGACUGGAGGACCAUUUACCUUGAAUUCAGCUUCAGGCCAAGCCUUAUGAAGAUCCCAAGCCGACAUCAUAGGGCAACAAACAUCAUAACGGCCCUGCAACAUAAAGUGUUCAGGCACAAGCACACUUAUAUUUUACCAAAUUUAUAUCUAGCAAGGAUUUGAGUUCCAAAUUAUAUCUACCAAGACAAUAACCAAAAAAAAAACUUGGCCAGAUGUUCAAUGAUAACUAAAGGUAUACAGGCAUGACAAGCUAAAGGCAAUGCACAACUUGAUUUGUGAAAUAUGAUAUCUACUCCCUUCAUUCCAAAUUAUAAGACGUUUGGGCUUCUAGCAGACACACAUGGACAUUAUGAAAACAGCAAAUCUCAUUGAUAAGCAUACCUGUACAAUAAAAGCUUUAAUAUGUCGGAUCUUGUCAACAUUGUCCAAUAGGAAUGAGUCGGAGGGUAAAAAACCCUUAUUCACAAAAUAGUGAUUUUCAAUCCUUGCAAAUGCCUAAAAAAACAUUGAACCGUGCAUCAGCAAAUAUAAGAGAAUAUGUACUUUGACCACAUAAUAAAUCAUAAAAGUAUCGACUAAAACAUGUCAUAAAAAUAUGUUGCUCUUUGUAGCUUUAGGCUUGUUCUCUGUGGAAAGUGAUUCUACAAGAGAAGUGAUUCUAUUGUUGACAGUGUUUCUCUAGCCUGCUAGUUCAUUUCAGAAAUCCCUUAAUGAAAUCAGCAAAGAAUCACUUCUCUGCAAAACAAACAGUUUAGCGGAUUCAGCCUGGAAGCUGCUCUAGGACUCAAUGCAGAUUUCUACAGCCAUCCGUGGCAGCAGUUUAUUAGCACUAGGGAGUAGGUUUUCCAAAUUGUGCUUAUACAUGAUUGCUUAUUGUUGAUAUUUUAAGUCCAGAGAAAUAUUGAGAAUAUAAAGAAUUCAAGAAAAAAAAACACUCCAAGUCCCUUAGAAGGCAUUAUUCUUUCGAUUUCUGUACACAGCUAAAAUCAGAAUGAAAACAAGAAAUAUAUAUAUAUAUAUAGCUAAGUUGGGGAAACAAAAUAAAUUGAAAUAGUGCUAGUGUUACAAAGAAAAGUACAGAUGCUUGUGUGAGGACUUGCCAGUGAAAACUUGUCAUCUUCUCCUCUUUUAAUGUUAUCAUUGUUUUGGAUAAGAUGGGCAGUCAUCAUCUCCCACAUCGUCCAGCGCUUAGCAGCUUCAACCUAAUUGGGAAAAAGGGGAAAUGUCUGUUUACUAAAAUAAUAAGUGCGAGAUCAUCAGAAUCUUGCCUUUUAAGUAAUGGUACAGAAAAAAAGCUAUAAGAAGGCACAAGAAAUAUAUCAUAAUGUAUGUGGAGCUACCUGAACAAUAGGAUCAGAUGAAGUUAACCUUUUGUUAUACGCAUCUAUGAAACAAUUCCUUUCAUCCUCGGGAAUAAAAUCUCUAAAUGGUUCCCAUGCUGCAGAUUUAAAACUAAAGUUGUUAAAGUAAUAAAAAAAUGGUACAUAGGUGCUUUUUCUUUCAUAAAACCAGAAAGUAAAAUGAUUUUAAUAGAGAAAAAUAGAAUGCGUUGCAUUAACAAUAUGUCAUUUAAAUUCAACUGUAAUUACUGAAACAGAUUUAACAUAGUUAAUAUAAGUUGCCAGUACCAUUAUGGAACAUUGACGAGAUACUUGCUAAAGUUUAAGGAAGUUUUUUUCGGUUAAUAGAACAAAAAAAAAUACAAACCAUCUGGGAAAAUGGCUGCUGCACCACCCUCGUAGAACCAAUCAAGCUCCUUUUUCCUAAGCAUGAAAAUUCCUCUCAGAACAAGGCCAGUGACCUAGUGAGCAUCCAGGGCGUGUUAGUGAGAUCUACAGCAUGGCUUUAAUUGCUAUAAGAGCUUCAUGUUCAAUUACAGAAUACAUCAGAGUAUCAGAAAAAAAGAAACAUCACCUUAUCAGGGUGCUCCUGGCUGUAGGCAAGUGCCAAGGUGCUUCCCCAUGAACCACCAAACACCUGCAUUGUCCGGCAGCACUGAGUCCCAGCACUGAAGAGUGAGUAAUCAAUGUUAAUAAAAAAAAGAAGAAGAUAAUUGCCUGCCAUUCCGGGAUGUCAAGAUGCUCCCUGAGCUUCUCAAUGUCAGCUACCAAGUCCCAAGUAGUGUUCUGCUCUAAACAGGCAUGGGGAGUGCUUCUGCCUGCACCCCUCUGCAAUCACACCAUAACACAGGUCAGGAAUAACAGACAACCUCCUUUCUGGCUACGAAUAUGAUUAAAAAUGACACGAGUCACCCAAGAUGACCUGGUCAAACAGCACGAUUCUGUAGAACUCCGGGUCAAAGAACCUCCUGUUGCCGGGCGACGUGCCGGCUCCGGGACCUCCGUGGAGAAACACCACCGGCUGCAAAAUCGACGGGAUGAGAAGCUCAUCUCAUAAGGACAGAGCAUAUAUAUACAAUACUAGGAAAUUCUUCCAGAGUGUGCUGGAUUAUCAAAACUCUCCGGUAUAUCAAAUCUAACACGCAGAGAGAGAGAGGGAUUAGACGCCCACAUGGCGUGAACUGGGUCAUAAGAACUCUCCGAUAUAUCAAAUCGGACACACAGAGAGAGGAAUUGGAGGCUCACAUGGCCCUGGGGGUUGCCGGACUGCUCGUAGUAGAUGGUGUGGACAUCGGAGACCUUGAGGAACCCGGAGUCGUAGGGCUCGACCAGCGCGUACAGGCCCCUCGACAGCGGCUCCGACGACGAGCCCAUCUGCGCGGCGGCGGCCGGGACGGGGAGGCUCGCGCGGCAGCGGCGGCGGCGCGUGCCUUUCGCCUGUACGCAACCCAGCAGACCCGCUCUCCCUGCAGAGGCGGCGCCACAGAAGAAAAACCGCUGUCACGACUCAGCAAAGCAAACCCCAUGGCGACGGGUGGGUAGAUAAGAUGAGGGCCGAGAUCGCGGGGGCCGAUGCGAUGACGAUGAGGCGGUUACCUGAUGAGCGUGGGCGGGGGUGGGGCUGGGGCUGGGGCGGCGGGCGCGAGAGGCGUGGCGGAGCUGGGCAAUGGACACGGAGGUGGGGGAGGGGACUGAUCAUUUGAGUGCGGUCGGGACUCGGGACGGGAGGGGUUUGUUGGGUUGGCAGGCAGUACGACUGGUAUACACCGCCGGUGGUGGUUUUGCUUUUGCAGUUCUCACUCACGACUUCACGAGGGGAGCGGGGUGAGUCAGGCGGAUGGAUCCUGGUGGCGCGGGCCCGGCCGGCUGCGCCGCGGCGGCGAGGGUGUCCCUAGUGCCAACUGCCAAGUGCCAGACGGGUGAAUCUGGAUCUGGACGGAUCUGGCUGUUGGUUCCAGACGGGUGGAGGUGCGGACGAGGGCAUGGAUGGCUGCUGGAGCUGGAUCCGCUCCGCACCGCAGCCGGCCGUCGUGGACGUACCCGUGUCGGUAUUCCGUGAUGCGAUUGCCGGAGGAACCGGUUUUGGACUGCAAGUACCUUUUUUUUUUUCUUUUGCGAGGUUCUCAAAUUGUAAUAGUCUGGUCUUCUUCAGUUCGCGAAAAUUUUUGGAUUUCGUUACUAUAAUACUUUCGUUUUUAUUUUAUAAUUAUUAUUCAAUUAUAGACUAAUUAGGUUUAAAAUAUUUGUCUCGCAAAUUACUGGUAAACUAUGCAAUUAUUUAUCUUUUUUAUCUAUAUUUAAUGUUUUAUGUGCCGCAAGAUUCGAUGGAACGGGGAAUCUUAAAAAAUUUUGGGAACGAAACAAGGCCUCUCUGUGUGUUGUAUUAUAAAUGUUUGGAUUUUUCUACCUACAUGAAUUUUGUAUUAGUAUAUAGAGAAAAUGUAGCAAAAUCUAUGUAGAAAAAUUAAAACAACCUACGAUUUGGAACUAGAGUAACAAGGCUCACAACCUCUUGCAACAGUUUUACAUGUUAAGCUCAGUAAAACAUGCUCUUACAAUGGAUUGAUGUAGGAUGAAGCUAGUUGUUCUCCUAGCUUCAACUUUCUCUACGAGCCCUGUGGGGAUUCUGUGAGAAACUGUUUUAAGAAACUUUACAUAUAGAGUUAUUUUGUUAAACGGUUAAUCAAAACAGUUUCACUUCUAUUAGUAGAGCUGCUCGUAAACCUAAAGCAACAAUAUUGUUUCACUAGUGAAACUGACAGUGACACCUUUAUCUGGAAGUCGUUUGCGCCACCGAGAGUCCAAAUGUUUAUGUGGCUGCUUUCUCAAAACAGGUUGCAGUCUCGCUCUCUACUGACGCUCAAGAAGAUUGUAUCGGAUCCGACCUGUGAAGUCUGUGGGCUGCAUGAAGAAACGCAAUCCCACGUCUUCUAUCACUGUGACAUGGCAACUCAGUUAUGGAGCCGUCUGGCGAUGGACGUUCCAUCUGAUCCAAGCAACCUCCUCUCUUGGAACAGGCCAGCCUCGGUCGCCCAAGAAGGAUUCUCCUCCUUCGUGGCUCUUUGUCACUAGCAGCUGUGAAAAGCUAGGAAUGAGAAGGUAUUCAGACAGUGCACCACUGGAGUGCAGCAAUUACUUCGACAAUGCUCUGCAGUUUCGGUUCAGUGGGAGGCCAGACUCCCACCAUCCAAGAGGCAUGUUGUUCGGGCCUGGGAACAGCUCUUCAAAGCGGCGAGACAAGGAGAAGGCUGAGUAUCCACGAGUAGUUUUCUUCCAACCCUAAAUUCUUCCACUGUAUGGAAUCUAUCUGAAAUUCAUCUAUCUGAUGAAUAUGUAAGAACUUGUUUCAAACUAGACCAUUGAGGGCCAAUACGAAAUACAUAAUCAGGUGGGAAACGACUCCCCCCGUUGACAGUCAAAAAAAAACUAGUGAAAUUGAACUGUGCUAAUUGAGACCUUAGUGGACAUUUUUCCAUCUUUUCUUAUGAUGAAGAGAAGUUGUAAGAAAAUAGGCUAAACAACUAGAAAGCUGAUAGCCUAGUAGUCUUUUUUAUUGACGAUGUUUUAACUAGCGAUAGCAACGGCCGACCUACAGACGGGUACCUCGUUAGAUAUACGAUAGCGGAGGACCACCGAUGGGAGGAUCCAUUACAAGGUCAUUAUUAUCGACUAAUUGUGAUGGGGAUGAUGCGAUUUAGGUGUCAUUCAACGGUGGUUUCUUUUCCUUUUGAAAUAGUAGAGUUUCUUCUUUUUUUUUUUGACUUUUCAAACCACGCCUACACUCGACCGUGAUCAUACAAGUUACUCCCUCCGUUCCAAAUUGUAAAUCAUUCCAAGAAUCUUAGAGAGUCAAAAUAUUUUCACGUUUGACCAAAAUUAUAGAGAAAAAUACUAAAAUUUGUAACGUAAAGUGAAUAUACUAUGAAAAUAUAAUUAAGAAAGAAUCUAAUGAUACUUAGUUAAUAAUAUAGUAAUUAUUAUUUUAUAAUAUAAAUUUGGUCAAACUUAAAAAAAUUUUGACUCUCCAAAAUUGUUGAAAUGACUUACAAUUUGGUAUAGAGGGAGUAGAAUUUAGAAUAACUCACGUCUUGAUCGUGCUUAUAUGAGUUGAAGCAAUUCACAUGUAACGAUGAUACAGAUCCUGUUUUCAAUAUGUAUUGUGUUCCGUUGCAAGGCAAAAAGCAUUUUUGCUAGUCAAAAGAAAAAUAUGAAAGUUACAAACAACUCAGUAAAAUUUAUAAGGCUUCAAGAUAACAAAAUUACAGCAAAGUCCUAGUUGGGUCGAUAGUCAUAGUCACUCGCUUCGGAUAAUAUCUCUCAAUUCUGGCAUUCGAAUGUCAAAAGGCCUUAAACCUUACCAUGCGAUGAAUUAGAAAAAGGCCCAAACAGCCAAUAUAGGCCUAAAUCAAGCCCAAGAGCAACCUGGGCCUUACUAAAGCCUAAACCCACGACCCUAAGCCUAAUCGACAACUUUAGCCCACCUCAGGAAUCAGGAUGGCAUUACAUGAUUAGCAUAUUAUAGGUGGCAUACUUUAUGAACCCGGCGGCGAUAAAAUCAGCAGCCGUGCUUGGGCCGUGUUUACUUUUUGAACGAAAAAAUUUUACGACACUACAGUACUUUCGUUUGUUUAUAGUAAUUAUUGUUCAACCAAAAACUAACUAGGCUCCAAAUAUUUAUCUCGUAAAUUCCGACUAAAUUGUACAAUUAGUUUUUAUUUUAUUUAUAUUAUACUUCAUGCAUGCGUCUAAAAAUUUAAUGUAACAAAAACUCUUAAAAGAUUUUAAGUUUUGGGUAGAAGUAAACAAUUACUUAGUGCGGAGUCUCCUCCGAUCCUGCUGGUUUUGGCGGCGCACGAAGGCACCAACCGCCAACGUCGCUUCGGCGCUUCCGGGCCGUGUCGCCGGCUGAAACAGUGAAACCGCGGAAACCCCCUGCCGGAAGCCGAAGCGAGAAAAUACUCCCCCGUCAGAACAGACCCCGUCGGCACACUCCCCCGCGGUCGCUGGCCGGUGCCAGUUCGUGGCUCCAAGCCGCCCGGAAAUCUUCCGCCGACGCCGACGUGCAACGGCCUGGCACCCGGCUGCGCCGCCCAGAAUGCUCCGCGUAUGUCGGCUCCACCGCCGGGGCGCCACCUGUGUCCGCGUGGCGCGUAGCAAGUUGCGGUCGUUGCGCCCGCAACGUUUUUUCUUUCUCCUUUCAUUCAAAACAACUUCCGUACUCGCUUUCUUUGGCUCUUUGCUCUUUUGCAUUUGAACCCCCCGAAAUCAUAGUACUAUACGCGUGCACAUCAAUACUGUCCGCCUAUUUUCCCGAUGGGUUCAUACUGCUAUAUAACAAGUUAUGUAAAAGAGUUAGUAUGAAUUAAGUAUAAAAUCAGCACGGGGUUCCAAUUUAAAAUUUGAAUAAAAGUUAAAUCACUUCCGAAAAAUCUAGGGCCGUUGUUUUAUCAUGCAUGGAUCCUCUUAUAAUCAAGAUUCCUUACAAACUUUUUAAUGAUCAAAGUUUUUAAAGUUUGAAUCUUAAUUGCGUUUUGAAAAUGGACAGGAGGGAGUUCUAUGCAAACCGUGUAACUGUGUAUGGUUGCACACUUGCAGAUACAACCUCUGUAGUUGCGUGUAUCAAAUUCUGGGCAGAGUUUGACUCGAGCAGGGCAGGACGGCGGACGGCAGGUCACAGCCAGCGCAGAAGAGCAAAUAAACAGGAAGUAUCCAGGGAGCCGUUAGCUGUUCGUUCCCCCUCCAAUGCCGGCCACCCAUCACCUUCCCCUCCGCCCGCCCCCGACCCGUGCCCUCACCACCACCACCACCUAAUCGGCUAAUCCGCCUUCGGCCUUCCUCUCCGUUUCUCCGCGCGCCCGGCCUCCUUCGCCGCCCGAUGGCCGCCACCCCGCCGUCGUCGCGGGACCCGUCGCCGCAGCCCCGGCGGCCGGCCUCCUCCGCGGGGCCCGCCACCACCAAGCGCGGGGGCCUCCUGCUCGGCCGCUACGAGCUGGGCCGCCUGCUCGGCCACGGCACCUUCGCCAAGGUCUACCACGCCCGCCACGCCGACACCGGCGAGACCGUCGCCAUCAAGGUGCUCGACAAGGAGAAGGCCCUCCGCAACGGCCUCGUCCCGCACAUCAAGCGCGAGAUCGCCAUCCUCCGCCGCGUGCGCCACCCAAACAUCGUCCGCCUCUUCGAGGUCAUGGCCACCAAGUCCAAGAUCUACUUCGUCAUGGAGUUCGUCCGCGGCGGGGAGCUCUUCGCGCGCGUCGCCAAGGGCCGCCUCAAGGAGGACACCGCGCGGAGGUACUUCCAGCAGCUCAUCUCCGCCGUCGGCUUCUGCCACGCCCGGGGCGUCUUCCACCGGGACCUCAAGCCCGAGAACCUCCUCGUCGACCAGCGCGGCGACCUCAAGGUCUCCGAUUUCGGCCUCUCGGCGGUCGCUGAUCAGUUCCACCCUGAUGGCCUCCUCCACACAUUCUGUGGCACGCCCUCCUACGUCGCCCCGGAGGUGCUCGCGCGCCGCGGCUAUGACGGCGCCAAGGCGGACAUAUGGUCCUGCGGUGUCAUCCUGUUCGUGCUCAUGGCUGGCUACCUUCCUUUCCAUGACCAGAACCUCAUGGCGAUGUACCGUAAGAUUUACAGGGGGGAAUUCCGGUGUCCGAGAUGGUUUUCCAAGGACCUUAGCAGUCUAUUGAAUCGGCUUCUUGACACGAACCCAGAGACCAGGAUCACCGUGGCUCAGAUAAUGGAGAGCAGGUGGUUUCAGAAAGGGUUCCGACCGGUCAGGUUCUACGUCGAGGAUGAUCAAGUCCACAGCUUGGAAGACAGUGAGAAUGAGGUGCCGGAACUGGGGCCUAGUGAGCCUCCACCUCCACCUCCCCUGCCGCCGCCACCACAGAAAGAGGACGACGGUGAUGAUUCUGGUUGGGAAUCAGACUCGUCUGUAGCAUCCUGCCCAGCCACAUUGUCAUCAGAGGAGAGGAGACGGCCUGUUGGAUCUCUCCCACGGCCGGUAAGUCUAAAUGCGUUUGAUAUCAUAUCGUUCUCAAGGGGAUUCAAUUUGUCGGGGUUGUUUGAGGAGCGAGGCAGUGAAGUGAGAUUUGUCUCAGCACAUCCCAUGCAAACGAUUGUAACAAAAUUGGAGGAGAUUGCGAAGGUGAAGAGCUUUGCAGUUCGACGGAAGGACUGGCGGGUGAGCCUGGAAGGCACGAGAGAAAGUGAAAAGGGUCCAUUGACAAUUGGGGCUGAAGUAUUUGAGCUCACACCAAGCCUUGUGGUGGUGGAGGUGAGGAUGAAAGCAGGGGACAGGGAAGAAUAUGAGGAUUUUUGUGAGAAGGAGUUGAAACCUGGGAUGCAGCACCUCGUGCACCAUACAGCCUCGGUUCCAGAUAUACCUUCUGACACUGAGUAGCUUAAAAGGUAGUGUUCUCUUGAUUGGAAGGAAUAUGAAAAAAGAAAUUGGAUUGAAAGGAUGCACUUUUCUGUUUCAGUGUAAGCAAUCUGUGCAGGAAAAUGUUAUUCAUAGAUUUCCUUAGUUAUUUCUUUUUGUUAAUAUUCUUUCCGCAAUCAAAGAUGUUUUGCGAUAGUAGUUGUGUGCCAAUAUCAAUCAUCAAUCUUUUUAGUUGUAAGUAUAAAAGUUGUGGCCAUUUCACUACAGAAUUAUCAAAGCUAUAACUCUAAUGUUAUUAGCCAUGUAACUGUGCUACAAUUAUGUACAUUCAUUCUUGUACAAAUGUCAUCUGUAAAUUUUUUGAAGAAGGAAUAUUGGCCUCGGUGUGUACAAAAGAAGAGUGUAACUUUUGUAUAUUCAAUCUUUUUUUUGGGUGGGUUCAUAAACUCAGGAAUCACAGUAUUAGAAUUAAAGUGGUCAUUGGUUCCCUGCUGUCCAGCUUCACCACUUCGUUAAUUGGAAAACAUUCUAUUGGAUACAACUGAAAUAAAAUGGUAGGUGCCUAAAAGUGUAAAUUCUCACAUUCAGUGUUUUGCUUAUUUUAUGGUGUGUAACUGUGUACAAGGUUAAAUAGUAUAGCUUGUAUAUCUGGUGGUCUUUUCGGGCUUAUGGAACAAGAGUCCCUGUAGAAUUAGAUUAGCAAUUAUUUUGUUGCUAUUGGGCUUAACUAAUUCACUUACUCAUAACAUUCUGUUUGAGUUUGAUCCAAAUUUAAUAGGAGAUGGCUAAUAGUAAGAACAACUCAAACCUGUAGCCUGUAGGACGAGUAAAUGAUGGUGGAAAAGCUGUGUGGAGACUGCGGAAACAAUCAUUUACCAUAUUUCUAAUCAACUUUGUUUACUGAUUUUUUAUUGAAUGCAAAAUUGUUCGGUUUCUUUCUUCUCAUCGAAGCUUAUGUUGUUCUAAGCGAAGUUCAAUUAGAAAACAAUGUUUCCAGAUGGUUGGGUCUUCUUUUCUUGCAUGGUUAUAAACCUUGGAUUCCUUUUCAUUUGUGAUUUGGUUUGCAGAGGCAAGAAGAAGAGUUAUAGUAAGUGAUCUAGCAAAACGUUUUUCCUAUUUUGGUGGAGGAAUUGUUGUGCUAAGUAUCUAGUUUGUGGUUGGUCGUCAUGCACCAUUAGCACUGUGCACCAUGUUGUAAGCUUUGAGGAUCCCCCCUUCUUGCUACAUGUAAAUAGAAUUAGGGCUUGACAUGUUUUGCUAACCUAACUAAAUGGGAUGGCCAGAUGGGUGCCUCGGCCUAAUUUUGGUGAUGACACAAAAUUGAUAAUCAGGUAGCUGAUAUUUUGCAGUGCUUGUCUUUAAAAUUAUUCUUUGCAAUUUAACUAUAUACAUCACCAGAGUAAUUGUGGAGGAUAAAUAUUUUGGUCCAUUCAUGUCAUGUGGUGAAAAAUAGUUGGUAUACUUAAUUUGUAGCUGUCAGGCUAUGAAUUUGUUUUCACCUCAUUUAGAGUCAUCCAUGACUAAGAAGUAUGCUCACCACUACUUGUAAAUAGAAUUAGGGCUUGACAUGUUUUGCUAAUCUUACUAAAUGGGAUGGCUAGAUGGGUGCCUCGGCCUAAUUUUGGUGAUGACGCGAAAUUGAUAAUCAGGUAGCUCAUAUUUUGCAGUGUUUGUCUUUAAAACUAUUCUUUGAAACUUAACUAUAUACAUCAGUCACCAGAGUAAUUGUGGAGGAUAAAUAUUCUGGUCCAUUCAUGUCAUGUGGUGAAAAAUAGUUGGUAUACUUAAUUUUUAGUUGUCAGGCUAUGAAUUUGUUUUCCACCUCAUUUAGAGUCAUCCAUGACUAAGAUGUAUGCUCAAGGAAUUUCUUCUUUUUACAUAUAAAGGGUCAAUAUUUAGUAAAGUCACUUCAAUAAUGAAAAAAAAACAUAGCACAUUGCGUGCAAAGGAGAACUUUAAUAAAGUCACUUCAUAAAAAAAUAUAGUUCAUUGAGUGGAAUCAAAUAAUUGUGAUAGCGAAAUAUACCUAGAAAAAUAAUGAAUAAGAAACAAUUAAAAUUUAAAGCCAAAACGAAUGUGUGUAGAAAAUAUGGUGUUUUGAUACAUUCUGUCACAAUCGUCUUAUUUCUUGUUUCAGUUACGUAAAUAUUGAAUCCUGUUCCCUACUCAUUUUAACACAAUAAAGUUUCCCACAGUUAUAUCUCCAUUUUUUUGUAUGUAUAUUUUGUUUCGUAGGUAUAAUGUGAAUAUUUGGGUUAUUGAUUUUGUAGGAUAGUUCUUGAGAAAAUCAUGUGCCAGAGUGAACAACUCAGUGGAACUUUAAUUCUUUUCUCUCAUUAAUUCAUGGCAUGCUAUAUAAUGCACUACAAUAAGUCAAGCCAUCUGUUGCUUUAGGUACUUGCAAAGGACUUGGUACUGCUGUCUCAGACUAAAAGCACCAGCAAAUGAAUAAACCACGAGCAUGUGCAAAGUCAAGUGCAAAUGCUAGUACUUCAUUGAAGCUACUGUUUUGUUGCAGCCUGUUUAUACUGAUUUUAAGGAGACUAAAGUGUGGUAUUAUUUGUAUAUUUCUACAGGAAUAAACAAUUAUGCCUCAGAUUGGAGCGAAGAAUGUCCCCCUGAUUCAUGUCUAGUUACGAUUAUUGGACUAAGGUUAUUUCUGGAUAACAGCUGAAAUUAUGAUCCAGUAGUCGGUGAGGUCCAUAGUGUUUGGAGUUCUGUUCUGAACUUGCUCUUGUAAUGAGUUGAUUAAAUUUAGGCGAGUGAGAACAUUCUGUUUGAUCCUUUAAUAGGAAAUGAUUCUAUAGUUAGAACAACUCACACCUGUAGCUUGUAGGGUGAGUAAAUGAUGGUGGAAAAGCUGUGUGUAAACUGUGUACACAAUCGUGUACCAUAUUUCUAAUCAACUUUGUUUUCAGUUUUUGAUUGAAUGCAAAAAUUGUGCUAUUUCUUUCUUAACUAAGCUUAUGUUGUUCUAAGCGAAGUUCAAUUAGGAAACAAUGUUUCCAGAUGGUUGAGUUUCUUUUUCAUGCAUGGUUAUAAACCUUGGACUCCCUUCCAUUUGUGAUUUGGUUCACAGAGGAAAGAAGAAUUAUAGCAAGUGGUCUAACAAAACAUUUUUCCCUAUUGGUGGAGGAAUUGCUGUGCUAAGUGUAUUUAGUUGUUAAUUGGUUGCCACAGACCCAUCUGCAUUGUGCACCCUGUUGUACGCUUUGGGAAUCCUCCCUUCUUACUACCUGUGAAUAGAAUAGGGCUUGACAUGUAUUUGUUAAUCUAAUUAAAUGGGAUGGCCAGAUGGGUGCCUCGGCUUCAUUUUGGUGACGAGGCAAAAUUGACAAACAGGUAGCUGAUAGUUUGCAGUGCUGGUCUUUAAAAAUGUUCUUUGCAACUUAACUACAUACAUCAGUGAUGGGAGUAAUUGUGGAGGAUAAAUUUUUUGGCCACUCAUGUCAUGUGUGAACAAUAGUUGGUAUACUUAAUUUGUUGUUGUCAGGCUAUGGAUUUGUUUUCACCUGAUGUAAAGAGUCACCCAUGACUAAGAUGUUCAGUCACGGAAUUUCUUCUUUUUACAGUAUAAAGGGCCAAUGUUUAGUAAAGUCACUUCACUAAGGGAAAAAGAACAUAGUACAUUGAGUACAAAUGCCAACUUUAACAAAGUCACUUCAUAAAAUGUAGUACAUUGAGUGAAAUCAAUUAAUUGUGAUAGUGAAAUAUACCUGAAAAAUCAUGACUUGGAAACAAUUAGAAUUUAAAGCCAAAAUGAUUGUGUGGAGAAAAUAUAGUGUUUUGAUACACUGUUUCACAAUUGUCUUAUUUUCUUGAUUGAAUUACGCAGAUAUUGAAUCCUGUUCCCUCCUCAUUUUAACAAAAUUAAGUUUCACAAAUGCAGUUAUAUCUCCAUUUGUUUUGUAUGCAUAUUUUAUUUCCUAGGUCUAAGGGUAUUUAGUUAUAAUGCAAGAUAUUUGGGUAUCGAUUUUGUAGGGUAUUUCUUGAGAAACUAAUGCAGUCAUGUGCCAGAGUGAACAACUCAGUGGAGUUUUUAUUCUUCUCUCAUUAAUUCAUGACAAGCUAUGUGUACUACAAGAAGUCAAGCCAUUUGUUGCUUAUAGCAAGUGGCUGUCUCAGGCUACAAGCACGAGCAAAUGAAUAAACCACGAGCAUGUGCUAAGUCAAGUGCAAAUGCUAGUACGCCAUUGAAGCUAUUGUUUUGUUGCAGCCUGUUUUAUGCUGAUUUGAAGGAAACUAAUGUGUGGUAUUAUUUGUAUAUUUCUACAGGAGUAAACAAAGUGUGCCUCAGAUUGAAGCGAAGAAUGUCCCCCUGAUUCAUGUCCCAUUACAUUUACACUGGACUAAGAUUACUUCCUCUGGAUAACAGCUCAAAUUAUGAUCCAGUAGUAGGUGAGGUCCAUGGCAUUUGGAGUUCUAUCUGAACUUGUUCUUGUGAUAAGUUGAGGCUAACAUGCAUUGUAAAUUCCUAUUCUACUGCUGACUUGAGUCCUUACUGCGAUAGAGAAUGAGAUGUGGCAACUAGAAUUGUUUAAUAACUUUAAGACUCAGCUAGAUACUCUAAGCUGACGGUGUUUAUGAGCUGGAUAGCCCACUUGUAAGCUGAAGUAUCAAGAAGCAGUUGAUUUGGUCGUUGUCAGGGCAGCUUAAUUGACCCUCUCCUACUGGGUUGCAGGUUUUGAACGGUUCUAUUGUUCGAUGGUCAGUUUUCUUGAGCUCACUGAAGCUAUUGCCGGAGCAGUUUUCUUGCAGUCUGCUAUCUAUAGAAUUUCCAGAAUCUUGAACGGUGCCAGCAGGAGAAGUGCUGCUGGAAGCUGCAAGGAAGAUAUUUUUGGCUGGAAGAAAUGCCUUUCUUCUUGAGGAGAGGAGAGCCUAACAAUCCUGUGGCUAAGCAAGAUUAUAGUUGCUAGUUGGUGACACAGAACGGAGAACAGGGAGGGUUCAGUAGAAAAUGUUCUGGAAUAUGUAUUGCGGAAGUUUGAUAUUUUGUUAGAUGCCUUGUGAUGAUCACCAGUUCCUUUUUUGCGCUUUUUUUUGUCCAUUUAAUUUCAUCUGUUACCCCCCUUAUCGAUCCUUCUACUUUUCAAAGAUUCCAGUCUCUGACAACGAUGAACUCACCUAUUCGGACAUCCAGCGAGAAACAGCUUGCGGAUUGCAGGGGCCCUGAUCGUGGGGACGAAGAGGUAGACUCCUUCACUCCAGUUCGUGCAAGCUCUGCAGCAGCACAGUUGGGAAUCAACGAAAAAUAAUUCCUUCCUUCUUAAGAGAAGAGAAAUGAGGAUUUGUUUAGUUCGCGAAAAUUUUUAGCUUUGACUACCGUAACACUUUCGUUUGUAGUUAAUAAUUAUUGUGUAAUUACGGACUAACUAGACUACAAAGAUUCGUCUCGUAAAUUACAAAUUAUUUCGUCUAUAUUUAAUGUUCAUUCAAUGUGAUGAGAAAUCUUUAAAUUUUUUUGGAAAACUAAACUAGGCCUAAUCACAUUGACAGAGGCCAUCAGCGACGUGUGGGCACAUUAUCGACAAGCCAUCAACACCUCGCUAAUGGCGAUCUCAUCUCGAAGCUAGUAUUUCUAUAUAUUAUUAUUAAAAAAACCACCUAGUGGCGAUCAAUCAUGCACGCCGCGCAGCUGCUGAAGAUAUCUCUAGAUAUGGGUACUCGUCAGGACGUUUUCCGAGCGUGCGGCGUCCACCCCACCGCCACCACAAGGGCCCUCGGGACAAAUCAGUCAAACAGCGGGUGGCGCGCACGCCCCACGGUCACGGCGCCAGGAGCACCAGCCACCACACCCACACGGACCGCCCGGGCACGUAGGCCCGCGGGGGUCACCACUCACCACCUCCGCGCGCACUGGUGGACCGCGGUCCCGCAGCAGUGGAAAACCACCGUCCAUCCCCGCUCCCACGCGGCCAACGCCACGUCGCCUAGACGCGGGGAAGGCUCGCGCGCGACUCCGCGCGCGCACUGGUGGACCGCGACGUGACGUGCCGCCCGCGCGGGCAAAGCACCGGGGCGCGCGGGGACGUCGCGCUCGGGGGGCGGUGGGUGGAUUCCCCGGGCGAAUUUUCCAGCGGCUGCGUGUUGUUCGGCUGCUGCAAGGGCAAGGCCGCACUACUACUGUUGGGUGCUAGGGAGUUCGACGCUGAAGCUGAGCUAAUCGCGUCGUCGCCCGGGGUGGUGUUGUCACUUGUCAGGUCAGGUGGUUGGACCUUGGACGCGGACGUUGACGUCACCGCAACACGAGGCAUACCCGGGAGAGUUUCUAGACACGGUUCACCUAAUUCAAUACUCUUCGUUUUAUGGAGUAACGUUUUAAUUAAUUAAUUAAUUAAUUAAUUAAUUAAUUACGGAGGAUUUAUUAGAACAACCUACCAUCUGUUUUCAAAUGUUAGGUCCAAUUCAAAACGGAGAAAGCCGGAUCCACUGUGAACUCGUCAAAGAUGUCAGACUUUCAAGCCAGUUUGACAAAAAUCUGGAAAACCUUCAAUUCGCAGUAUCGAGUGCGCGACUACUGAUUUUUUCUUUUCUUUUCUUUUUUUAAAUUUUAAAAAAGAAGUACGAAUUCGAAAUAAAAAUAAAAAUAAACGAGCACGAGCUUUUUUUUUUUUUUUGCGCUAAAAGAGUACGAGUACUGUUGCGGCAGCUGCGAUCCGCGCUCAGUACGUGUGGGACCCAGGCGCUUAAUGACCCCACGUGUCAUGGCAGACAAGGCGUAUAAUUAGGCGCAGGGAUCCGGGAUUAAUUUAGGCCUUGUUUAGUUCCAAAAAAUUUUGCAAAACAGGUACUGUAGCACUUUCGUUUGUUUGUGACAAAUAUUGUCCAAUCAUGUACUAACUAGGUUCAAAAGAUUUAUCUCAUCAAUUCCGACCAAACUAUACAAUUAGUUUUUAUUUUCGUCUAUAUUUAAUACUCCAUGCAUGCAUUUAAAGAUUUGAUGUGACGGAAAAUCUGAAAAAUUUUGUAAAAUUUUUUGGAAACUAAACAAGGCCUUAGGCGAGUGAGAGGCGCACGUCGAGGAUGCCACUUUUUCAAUUUUCGGGGCCGUUUCUUCGCCAUUUUUUUUUCCUCUCUCUUUCUCCUUCCUCUCGCUCGCUUCCCUUCCCUGCUCCCUUCCUCCUCCAGCCCCCUUUAUUCCUCCAUCCGCUCGCGCCAAUCUCUUCAGGGGGCGGGCAGGGAUCGGUGCCCGCCGGCCGCCCGUCAUGAUCUCCUGGCGGCGCAGCGCGUCAUGGCUGUCGUCGGCGUCCCGCUCCUCGCUUGGCGCUGCCGUCGGCGGGGAGGCGAAGGUCACGCCGGAGGUGGAUCCGGCGGCAGCCCAGGAGAUGGAGGAGGACGAGGAGGCCGACGAGGAGCGGUGGUCGCGCCUGCUGCCGGAGCUGCUCACGGAGAUCAUGCGGCGCGUGGACGCCGGCGCCGAGCGCUGGCCGCCGCGCCGCGACGUGGUGGUCUGCGCCUGCGUGUGCCGGCGGUGGCGCGACGCCGCGGUCUCGGUCGUGCGCCCGCCGCUCGAGUGCGGGAGGAUCACCUUCCCGUCCUCGCUCAAGCAGGUGAGACACAGACAACCACCGGACCGUAACGUCUCAUCGUGGUAAUACUGGCUCUUUUGAUCUGUUUGUGUAAAUCACCUGAAUCUAUAUGGCUCGAACUUGCUGUGUUCUUGAGGAUUUGGGGCCACAUGGUUAUCGAGGCUGAAGUUUUCUUAUUACCCAUUUCUUUCCUUGAGAAAAUAAAACCAGCAGCCACACAUCCUAUGGGCAUGUUUGAUUUGAAGCUCUAGGUGCAAGAGAUGUCUAGGUGCACAGAUGUCUUCUGCGCCUUUUUCUUAUACAGUUUGACUCGAUCUCGGUUGAUCUCUGGAUCGGUUGUUGGAUUUAAUCUUCUUCAAAUUAAAUUAAUUUUCUGUUUCUAAAUAGGCGUCUAUGCCUACACAAUUUUAUUUGUACGCAGAAAUGCGAACAAUUUGUAUAUCUAGUUCUUUUGUGGUCUGUUUACAAGGAUCAGCAGAUCCAUGCUUGUACUAACAAUUUGUUUAUCUAAUUCUUAUUGUUCGUGGGGCGGCGCUGCAGUGUUCCUUGUGCGUUAGAAUUUAGAACGGAGCCACAUGUCCAUCUUAAUCUCUAUCCUCCUAUUUUGGCUACGUAACACUAUAUUUUUGGUGGCUAGUGCUAAUAAAGUAUGGCAGUAGUGGAGAAGUUGGCACAAACACAGACUUUCUUUAUUUAUGUUUAUAUGUGAUAGCUGGAUGUUGUUUGGUAUGCCAAUAGCGGUAUGAUAAUACCUAUAAAAGCUUUUCUUCUGUGCUUGAGUUUACUAAAUAUUAAUUUAAUGUAUGCUUAUAUUAUUUCUUUUCCACAGCCUGGACCAAGGGAUGCACCGAUGCACUGUUUUAUCCGGAGGGACAAAAAGAACUCGACCUUUUCUCUCUAUCUCAGCUUAACACAGGGUGAGUAAGCAUGGGUAUCUUCUUAUUCCGCCAUGCUUUUGAUUUCAUGGUAUCAUGGAUCUGGUUCACUUGGUGGAUUGAGAUAGGGGUUUCAGAUCUCUUUUAAUUUGAAUAUGUAGUGCCAAGUAAGCAACUAAAAAGGCUAACUGACUUUCUGAGGCUCCCGAUCCAUCUAUGAUGUUUGAAAUGGAAUCCUGUAAUUCUGUCAAAUCAUGUUUAUAAAAUUGAAAGCAUAGCCAUUGGGGCCAAAUAAACAACAAAUACCAGCUGGCACCUCUGCUGAGGUUACUUCACAUAUGACUUGUGAUGUUGCACAUCUGUACCUAGUCUUGUUUAGAAAACAGGAAAGUGAAUAUAUAGUUUGCUUAUUCCUGUAAUCAUUUACGGCUUUCUUAUACCAUUUGACAAGGACCUGUACAUCUACUUUGCCAUCCCACCUACAAUAUUUAUAGUGUUCUGCCUAAAUAUAGUCCUAUUCGUUUGGUAGGAAGAUUAUACCAUUUGAUGAGGACCUGUACAUCUACUUUGCUGUCUCACCUACAAUAUUUAUUGGGUUCUGCCUAAAUUAAUCCUAUUCGUUUGGUAGGAAGUUUUGACUUAUCAUUGAUUGUUGAAAAAACAUUCAAUUGAAUACAUUGGCAGUGAUUCUUACUCGGCAUCUACUUGAUUUGAUCUUAACGGCUAAUAUAAAUUUUGGAAAUCUACCUUGCUGGCAUAAUAAUAUAUAGUAGAGCUUGUGAAGUAGAUGAUUUUGCAAUGCUAAUGGAGUUUUGGAAACUCUGCAUGAUCUAUUUGUACUCACAUAAUCAGUUUAACUUAUGAUCUGUGAAAGCAAGAAAAUGUUGAAAUACUGGGUCCUGUCAAGUGUAUGAUUGGCUAUUUCACUGUAUAAAUAAGGUUACAGUUUCUCACAAGUAUGGUAUGUAGAGACAAUAUCGCUUGGGAACUUGAAUCCACAAUAGUCCAGUUGAUCUCUUAUUCCCUGCUAUAUCGAUCUGAAAUAAGCCAGUUCUAGAGAUUGUACAAUGAAGUUACACUUUGUCUGGAAUUCUUGACUGCAUGUUCAUGUGAUAUUUAAUUUAUUUUGCUCUCUUGGCAGCUCUAACGGAUAAAGGGAAGUUUCUUUUGGCUGCUCGAAGGUUCAGACAAGGAGCACAUACAGAAUAUAUCAUCUCUUACGACUAUGAUGAUCUGCACCCAAGAAGCAGUUCAUAUGUUGGAAAGUUGAGGUAAGGUCUAAUAUGUCCAGAACCUUAUUUUCCAAUUUGAUUACCUGAUUUGUUUGUUGUGCAUGCCCACGAGGUUAAGUGUUCAUCUUUUGACUAUAUGUUAGCUGAGUUCUAUAUUAUGGGCAUAAAACUGUAUAAUUUGUGUCAUGUGCCUUAUUUCCAUUGCUUCUAUAAUUGUUUAAACACUUUAGUAAAUUAAUCCAUCAUCUCCUUAUUUCUGGUAGUUAUAUUGUCAAUAGACACUAUCCACGUUCAUAUGCAUUGCCAUAUUCUGUGAUUGAAUCAGCUUAUGAGAAAAUUGCUUGUGUGAGGCGCAUCUAUGACAGAUUUCUGUGGUAUAUUCAGCUAGCAGUGGCUGAAAUCCUGUUUAUUCAUAGGUUGAGGUUCUGUUUCAGUUACAUUGACGGAUUGUGGCAGCUUUUCCUUGUUUUUCAAGUCAGUCAGUCAACUGUUACAUAGAGUUAUUUGUAUGAAAACAAAGAACCAAUUCAAUCAUUGGAUAAUCUACUCCAGAUGCUGUCUUGUUAUUGCCAAAAGUUCACUAUAGGGGUAUAGUUAACACUGUUGCGUUACCUCUGAACUUCCACUAAUUGUUCAUGCCACUCUUUCCUUCCUUCGCUAUAAAUUGGCUACAGCCUACAACACGUCCAUAACUCAAUGUACCUGUCAUUGAUGCCCCAGCACACAGCCGAAAACAUGAUAAUACCCUGUAUCAUACUCUUCUCCAAUGAUUUCAGGUCGACUGGUCGAAGCUGGUCGCUCUAGGACCGACCAGGCGAUUAAUCGAGAUUAAUCGUAAUCGCCCUGGUCGUCCAGCUAUUUCAGGGCAUAUAUGCCUAUAUAUAUACCUCUAUAUAUACUAUAUAAUAUACACAAUCAAGCCAGCAUCAAGACUACAUUAGUGUUUAGAUAGUGAAUUACUUGUGGGAUUUGGUUUCUUCUCUUUUCUGCACUGUCCAGACUCCAGAGGUCCAUAUUGUUGUCCCAAACUCCCCCUGCAGCCCCUCUAUUCUAUCUAAACCCUAACAGGCCAAAAACUAAAGCCCAUUAGCCCAGUCCCAGUUAGAAAAGGCCCAAAAAAAUAGAAGUCUGGUCGUCCAUCUUACCUGGUCGUCUGAUUAAUCGUGAUUAAUCGACGAUUAAUCGGACGACCAGCUUUCUGGUCGAACUAAUCGAGUCGGACCUCCUAAUCGAAUCCUAGUAGCGACCUGGACGAUUAAUUGCGAUUAAUCGGGCGACCUGAAAUCAUUGCUCUUCUCUUAUACAUAUUAAGCUACCAUGAUGGAACGAUCGAUUCAAUUUUCCAUAUAGUAGGGAUGCAUUGCUCCCAUAAAUUUAUUAUGUGCAACCCUAAAGUUUUGGUUUUUGGAAAGCUUUUAAAAACUUGCAUUGUAAACAAUUGCAUUUAAUCUUGUUGCAAGUACCGGGAACGAAUUCAAAGCCUUCCUCCCUUUUGUGUUUGUCUUUGAUUUUCCAUAAUGUCACUCAAAACUGUGGCCCAUCCAUGUGUAUUUGCAGUAGGGUGUAUGGAUACCUGAUGUAGAUCUAGCUCUAGCUCUGCAUUAUACACGGUAUCUCAAUGCUUAUAUGCACUUUCUCCUGUCCAUUGUCCUGGAAAAAAAUGUGAUUAUUGAAAGAAUUGGGCCUUACAUCCAUGAGAGUGAACUGUAGACAAUGAAAUACAAAAAUAGUUUAUACUUACAAAUUGCUGCAAGGGACAUUCAACUUAAAGCUUUCAACCAUGCUAAUAUCUGUGUAGAGGUGGAAAAACAUCAACGGAUGUUGUACAGUGAUGUUUGACUUAAAAAGUUUAAUUCUUACAGCACAAAAUGCUCCAUUGUGAUUUGUGAUACAGGUAAAUGUACAUUUGGUGGGAGGGUAGGCAGAUGUAGUAUACAGCUGGUUGUGAGGUUCAUUUAACAUAUGUGCUGUCAGCGAGACGGUGGCAUAUGAAUGUCUGGACAUGAGGGAACACCAGAACAGAGUUUGGGUUGUCAUUUUGUCAUAACUCAUAAGCAAGGAAGCAAGCACAUGCUAGUUUCCAUGCCCUAACCCAACUGAAACUAGUCCUACAGUUUUGUAGAGACAUCAGAUUUUCUCAAUCCUACAUCACUGGUCCUAACAUAGUAACAUCUAUGGAGGGACACCAGACUUUCUACCACUUUCAAAUGCAUUUGAUCCAGCGUUAUCCGUGAAGUAAUAGUGUCAUAAUUUGGCACUUUAUGGAUUGUAUGUUCAUAUUACGAAAGGCAUUGUUAUUAUAAGAAAAAUGAUAUCUUGUUAUAAAGUUUGCAAGUUUGCCAAUAAUACUAAUUUGAUAACAUGAGUUCUGCCUGUAGAUCUGACUUCUUGGGGACAAAGUUUAUCAUCUAUGAUAGCCAGGCACCAUAUGAUGGUGCUAAACCUUCGCGGAGCCGAUCCACUCGGCGCUUUGCAAGCAAGCAGAUAAGCCCACAGGUUUCAGGUGGCAAUUUUGAAGUUGGACAAGUGACCUAUAAGUUCAACUUCAUGAAAUCAAGAGGGCCAAGGCGAAUGCAGUGCAAUAUCCAGUGCCCUGUAAGUCAGGGCACUAUGUCAGAUCCAUCCAAGGAGAAAACACCCUCGUCAAGUUCCUUAGAUCUAAAGAACAAAGCUCCAAGAUGGCACGACCAUCUUCAGUGUUGGUGCUUAAAUUUCCAUGGCCGGGUGACUGUCGCCUCCGUGAAGAACUUCCAGCUUGUGGCCACAGCCGGCUCUGGUGGUCCAUGGGGCGUUGGAGACGAGGAAACGGUGAUCCUGCAGUUUGGGAAGAUCGAGGAUGAUGCGUUUACAAUGGACUACCGGCAGCCUCUGUCUGCUUUCCAGGCGUUCGCCAUCUGCCUCACCAGCUUUGGCACGAAGCUGGCUUGUGAAUAAGUGAUUGCCUUGUUUACCAAUUAUAUGUUGGGGAUCAAAUUGUAGGGGAUAGUCUGAACUAGUUGCCCUGAGCCCCUGAGAUGGGAGAAAACUGGCGACAAGAAACGGGCAGACGUUGCCCCUAGCUUGGCUUCUUGUGAUCGCCUAAACGAUUGAUUUAUAUGAUGUGCGUCUAUGUGAUUUAUAUGAUGUGCGUCUAUGUUGUUGAAGAGAUGACGAUGACUUAUUGUUGUAAAUGACACUCCCUUUCGUUUGGUGACAUUCACUCAUAAUGCCUUAUUCCGCUGGUGUGCAGUGUGCUGUUAAACCUUUUCUUUUCUGCAUUUUUCACAGACGAUGGUUGAGUUGUUUCUAUCAGACAUGAAUACAUGAUCGACCAGGUGGUGACGGUGUGAGGAUAUCUAGUUUUGUUUGCUGCUAAACUGGUAGUACUAUUGUUUAUUGGACCAGUUAUCAUGCAUGAUUAAAUUACGUUGUCAUUAAAUUACCAAGUGCUCCAUCUAUAUAGAUAGAAAUAGAAUCAUGCUACAUGCCCUUGGAGAUUGCUAAAGAACCCAUCACUACAACUUAUCCAUUCCUACAUAUCCAUCACUAGUAGAAUAAAACAACCAGGAGCCGCUCGCUAACAGUUGGCAUGGUCAGGGUAGCUUCCGUCAUUUCUGUAGAUCGUGUACGCGAAUUUGCCGUUGCCUGUCACGAUGGACGUCCCUGCUGGAAUCAAUGGAGCACCACGGCAACGGAGCACGUUUCUUGGGCUGCACAUGGAGUCCCAAAAAAGACGUCGCGGGAGGUCGAGUGGACACGGAAGGCAGCGCGCGCGAGAGCCACGACUCCGUAGGCGACUGGGGCAACGGCAACGGGAGCAGCGGCUGCGGCGACAGCGCCAUCUCACGUCCGGCAACGGCCUCCUUGUCUUCCAGAAGCAGCGGGAAACCGUACCCGCCGCCGCCGGCAUCGGCGCCCGCGUCACGCUCACGUCCCAGCUGCUUCUCGCCGCCGUCCGGCGAGCUUUUGGUAGUAGCCUUCUUCAGAAGCAACGCGGUGUCGCCGGUUCUGGAGAGCUUCCGCGCCGGCGAAACGUGGCCGCAAGCCUCGUUUGACCUGUCGAGGACCAGGAGCAAACCCAGAUGGCUCGCCUUCGGGCGGACGGCUUGCCCGUCUCGGCGUUUGUACAGUUCGCGCACUGUUCUGUCCAGCUCCGAGGCCACGGCGGCCGCCGGUCCCAUCAGGCCGCCGGCGCCGGGGCCUGAUGAUCGGAGCAGUGACUUGAUGUACACUUCCUCCCAGGAUUGCUGCGAGAUCUGCACGACAAGCCGUGAGUUGUUCAGGCAUGAGUCGGUGAAUUCGUCAGCACGGAAGUGAUGUUGAUGCACAUGAGAGGAGUACCAUGCCGUGAUCGUCUCCGGGAUGCUGGAGCUGCUGCUGCUGCUGACCGUUACGCGAGCGCGGCAGCAGUGGAUUCCUUUGUCGUCGGCUUCCGCCGCCGUCGGACUGGAACGGUGUGCCUGCACCUCGCCGCGCGACGCGGGAUAGCAGCAAGGCGCUCAUCACGCACGGGGUUGAGAGCAGCCCGCACCUCUUGGACGCGAAGCCCGCCGUGCUGUGCGCGUCGGAAUUGUCGUCAUCGUCGUCGUCGUCGUUGUUCUUGCCACUGGGAGGUAGGGGCGGCAGGUGGUACGCCGCAAUGUGCUGAAGGGGCACCCGCCUUUGCGCUGGCACCCUGUUGUCGCCACCGGCGGCCGUGCGCGCGCCUAGCACCACAGCCGCCCGGCCCGACGCCGCCUUCCGGAACGUGCUCUGCGGGGAUCCGGCGGCCACGGCGUGCGCGGCCGGCAGGAACCGGUCCAUCAUGACGCUGCCGCUGCGGCGGGCGCACGGCCCUGACCCCGACCCCGCCCCAGUCCCCGCGGCGUCGCUGAUGCCGGUCGCGCUGCAGUUCACGGUGACGCAGCUCACGUCGUCGCGGGAGAGCGCGUCGGAGCGCCGCUCCUCGCCCCGCCGCGCGCGCACAGAGUCAGAGGCCACGCCCACCGCCGCCGGACUCCGCGUCACGCGCGAGGGCUCAUCGACGUCGUUGACGAUCGUCAAGGGAGGUGGUGGGGCCGGCGGCGGCGGCGGGCGGCGGGUGCGGACGCUCUUGGGGUGGCCGGGGCGGUGCUCCCACCCGAAUGGCACCGCGCUGGUGUGGUGGCCCGGGGGCUCCGACGUGGCGUCCGCCUUGUAGGCCGGCGGCAACCCCGUGGCUGCGGUCUCAGCGCCACCGCCACCGUGGCGCCGGAUGGAGAGGAGCGGCGCGGCGAGAUUGAUGCGCUUGUUGGCGUCGGCCAUGCUAGACAACUGACGCGAAUGUGAAGCUCGCUGCUGCGCUCCGCAGACUGCAACUACUUCGCCACUGCACUGAAGUAAUCCGCGGAUUAAAUAAUGAGAGACUCUUGGAUCGUUCUGCUUAAUGAUCUUUGUACUACUCGUACUCAGGUGCACGACAGUAGGUCGCCGCAUGGCACCGCUAUAGCCGUACACGACGUGGCGGGAAGCGACCAAACUGAGCUGACAGGUUGCUACACUGUCACUGCAGUCUGUUGUCUGUGCACGAGCUCUGAUUCCUGUAAAAUCUUGUAAAAAAAACGAAGAGAAAAACAAACAGAGAUAUAUCAAUUCACAUGUAUUGAGGUGGGUUGGAGUGGAAGUUGAACUAAAUUCCACCCUAAUCCACAUCAACACAUGUGGAUUGAGGUGAAUUCGACAACAUCUAAACAAAGCCUAAUACAUUUCUUUACACCCUGUGUGCAGGUGAAGGUUUUUGAUCUGCCUGUCGGCUGCCGCAGGCUGCAGGUGUUGCCGAAUGGAGGAAACGGUUACAGUUACAGCAUGUUAAACAUUCUCGCUACGACAUUCAUUGUCCUCCGAUUGAUUGAUUGGCUGUAUUAUUGGGACGUACGUAGCAGAGCAUCAUCAGCGGUGACAAAACGGCUGUGUGGUCUCGCGCGGGAGAUUAGAGCAUGCAUAACAACCGGUUGGUGACCCCUGUGUCGGAUCGGAUGGACGGCAUUGUCAGUAGCGGAUGGGGAGUCGGCGUCGUGUUCGUAACUGCCAUGCAGACUGCAGCGAGGCAGGUCGUUUUCUCGUCGCUCAAGAGGUGGGAGGGGGAAGAACAGCACCGACACAACCCGUGUUCCCUUUGUCCCUGGCGUCACCAACUGACGACUGACGAUAGGGGAUCAGAAAUUCAGAAUCGUGGUACAGUAAUGGUACAGUCAUCAUGUUAAUUGGCAGGCAAUGCCGUGCAGUAAUCCGAUGAGUACGCGCUAAUCACGUCAAGCAUCGCCGACGUGUCUGAGAUUUCUUUCUGACAUUAUCGCCCAUGCUAAUAAUGGCUUGGUUGGUUUGGGAAGCAUGAUUCUAGCUAUGGACUGUUCGUUUCAGUAGUAAUCCAAGUACUAGGUGCUAAGAUUAUGCAGCAUCCCCAAUAGUGCGAUUGGUGUCCCAACUUUGCAUCUAGUGCGGUUAAGCUGUAUGCGUCCUAAAGUCUCUAACAACUCUACUAUCUGCAUGGCGUUUCUGUUUGUUUUCGCAUUCAAGAGCCCAUUUACAGGUCCCUCGCUCGCUGAAACGCCCCUUUCUACUUUUUUCCGAAGGGACUGUCGUCCAUCGGCACCUGAUCUUUCCCCUAAAGAAUCUAAUAAUAGGGUCUUAAGUUUGAGGAAUGCGUUGUCUCCUUACUCAUUCUUUUGGUUUGUGAAAAAAAGAACAGGUUAAUCCAUCGUCACCUAAUUCACUGCAAGCUAGCUAGCUAAUAAAUUAUACUAGUACGAUAUUAGAGUCAUUCCACCAAAUUUUUAAAACGAACUCACCAUACACCAUAAUCCCCCAAACCAAACAUGAAACACCUUACAACGGUCUAAAGUCAUAGUCUUCUUCUAGCCAGAUGCAUCUACUCAUCCCGAUGGGCGUCAAGCUGCCUCACCAUCCUGCCCUCUUCACAGCAAAGAGAGGCAUAGCAGACUAAUCGAACCGUGGUGGCAACACUCUUCUAUUGCUGCCUGUGGUUUUAACUGGUGAAACCAUUGCUCCUCUACAUAAGUAUUUGAAAACCUGUAAGACAACUGUCUGUUGUGACUAGUGGCGGAGGUAGAAAUAUUUUUUAGGUGUGGCGGGUUUAUAAAGAUCAAACAUGUAUAAGUAGGGAUGAAAACGGAUCGGAUACGGACGGAUAUCACCGAUAUCAUAUUUGUUUUUAUAUUUCUGGUCGGAUUCGGAUUCGAAUACAGAUAAUAUCAAUCAUGUCGGAUAAGAUAUAAUUGGAUGUCGACAUCAUAAAUAUACGAUUUAAGUAUUCGGAUACGGAUACGGUAUCGGAUAUUGAAUAUUCGGACUCGGAUACAGAUCUGAACCUCUCUAAACGAAUUCGGUCUCGAAUACGGUCGGAAAAUAUCCGUACCGUUUUCAUCCUUAUGUAUAAGGUCGCACUCGAACAAUAUCUAAAUAUGCAUAUAUGUAUUGACGUAUGAAACUAUCAAGUAUGUACUUUUAUCUAAAUAUUUAAUGCUAUAUACAAUAUAAUAUACAUGUAUUCCAUAUUUUAUACAUGUUUUAGGUAUGGCGGGGGCCAAGCCUUGCCAAAUGCUCUGUGACAUGGAGGCUAGGUGAAGACGUGGAGGACGGGGCAGCAUGCAUGCUAUAGUGUUGGUACAUGCAGUGUUGGUGAAGCCCUAAGCCGUUGGACUCCUCAGGGAACCCGUUCGUUCCUAAAUCCCAUCCCCAACGCUACAAUCCUAAACCUUAAUAUUGUCAGGGAUGAUCAUGGUGUUUUUCCUUUCCUAAAUCCCAUCCUCGUUCUAGCAUCUCUAAGAUUACCCUAUUCUCUUUCUUAAUCUUUAGUUUUUGGAAAAAUAAAAAAAUCACUCUCCAACAACUCCUAAUCCUUUUACGCACUUGGGAAAUUCUCUCCCGUCGUGCGUAACUUUGCGCGGAGUCGCGAUUGCGUGAAUACACACAUAUUCUUCGACCAAUUAGUGGUGGAAGGGCAGAAAAAGAAUAAAAAGUAUGAAAGGAUUCCAGAUGCAAAUGUAGAAGAGAUAAAGAAUAUAUAAAAUUGGUUACAAUCAUCUAGAAGUAAUAUAAGAUUCCUAAUGUAAAAUUGUCUUCUAACUUAAUUAUUGGAAAUUAUUUAAGAUGGCCUUAUUUUUUUCUUCCAAUAUAUUUUUAGGAUUUAUAAAACAUUGACUUUUUGGGAGGAAAAAAAUUAGAAUAUUCUUGGAGAUACUAGAAGAAGAAUACCAAGGAGAAGAAAUGUCCAGCAUCAGAGACGGACAGACGGAGUUGGACUCUAUAGGUGGAUGAGUCCAUUUGUGCAAACUGGCAACCAUGCUUGCCCGGGCCAGCUAAAUUAGCUCUAAAGACUCGAGAUUUGGCCCAUCUACUAAACGUCUAACCCACUGAGCCACUGAGCCAAGCACUGGACCUUAAUAUUGUGGCCCAAGCACUGGCCCUUUAUUAGCCUUUUUUCAGCCCAAUAGCAACUAAAGGCUCCCACAGCCACAAUACCUGCAGGCUGCAGUCCAGACUCCAGAGGUCCAGUGCUGUGCCGGAGCCAUUCAGAAUUUCAGAUGCGUCACGUCAUAUAUCUUUUUGAAGAAUCGUCACGCCAUAUAUCUAGCCAUCAUGAUCUAAUUUUUCCAUCAACUAUAGGUUAUUAGCCUUUUUGUUAGCCCAAUUGCAACUAAAGGCUCACACAAUACCUGCAGGCUGCACAGUCCAGAGGUCUGCCGGAGCCAUUCAGAGUUUCAGACUAGUAUAUCUUAGCUAUCAUGAAAAAUUCUCUCUCUCUCUCUCUCAAAAAAAAAAAACUAGCCAUCAUGAUCUAAUUUUUCCAUCUACUAAACUGGAGAUCGCUUUCGAUCGUUUUCGACCCCCACGCUAGCGAUCGUGAACAUUGGCCCUGAGAGCGAAACUCCAGCAGAUCGAACGUCGACGAAGUGCUGUUUUUUUGUCCAGAAAACAGCUCGUAAUUCUUCAUGCAUGAGGUUAAACUUUGCAGUUCCUGGGCAAUUUGGCUUUGCAACCAAAGUGCAAAGCUAUAAAGAGCCACUUUUCUUUUAUGGAUUGGCAGGAAAAGGAAGACAUGGGUCGGUCUUUCCAACCAAAAAGAUUCUCACUUUUGAUUCCGCCCUCAUCAAAAGCUACAGAUUAGGACUCGUACCAUAUGGAGGAUAAAGACCAUGAACACCCAAAGCAUUGCGCUUUACCGAGAUAAAGUAAAGGCGAGAAUCUUGUUUUGGAUAGUUUUUUGCGCUUUUUUUUCUGUGAACUUUUAUGUCUCGCAAACGCAAAGUGACCAUGGGAAAAGCUUAGGAAGGUGCAGCUAGUGCUUUGCUCAGAUUCUUAGUAACCAAGUCAUGCCUGCCAUAUGCCUCUUAUUAGGUCCUAUAUAUAGGUUGACUCCUGUUGACUCCUGGAGCUUUUACUUCUUAAUUACCGUUCUGCUAGCUAAUGCAUAUAUAUUGAACUGUCUGCAGAUUGCAAGAGAAAUGUUUGAUGAAGCUCGUCGGAAAAUUUUAUCUGCUCAUGUAAACAAACCUUUGCUCAGUCAGUUCUUACAUUUCUUUGGAAAGUUUUUCCGUAAAACCUGCACGAUUCUACAACGGAUCGUAUAGCUAGCUAGAGGGCAGCUCAUUAUGCGAUGCAGUUCUUAAACAUGGCUUUGCAGACAACCAACAAAGACACGGCAUAUGUGUUGUGAGUACGUACGUACUGAAACGUCGACCGGUACCGCAGCCAAAAGCCCAAAAGGCACCACAAAUCAUGGUGUCCACCGCGCACGCACCCAAGCACUGAGCCACUGGCUCUCACGUAUAUAUUUGCUAUAUAUAUACAAGAGCCAGGUCUACUGGAUGCCUGAUAGUACGAGAUAUAGCUUCUUCAGAAACCAUCGAAAACCAGCCACCACACGCCUCGCGCAACAUGCUGCCUCACGUCGAGAUGCCGGCCAGGGCGGCGGCCGCGUGCACCGGCGCGGCGGGCAUCAAGCUGUUCGGCAAGGUCAUCACCACGCAGCCGCCGCAGCAGCCCAUGCAGCACGCGCCGCCGAGGCUGCAGCAGCAGCAGGCGUCGUCGGGGCGCGGGAACAACGCCGACCUGCUGGAGGAGGUGGCGCGGGCGCGCGCGGCGGCGGCCGAGGUGCGGCUGCCGUGCCCACGCUGCUUGAGCCGGGACACCAAGUUCUGCUACUUCAACAACUACAACGUCAACCAGCCGCGCCACUUCUGCCGGGCCUGCCACCGCUACUGGACGGCCGGCGGCGCGAUCCGCAACGUGCCGAUCGGCUCCGGCCGCCGCAAGAACCGCCCCGUGCUGCUCCCACCGCCGGCGCCGCAUCACGCUGCCACCGCCACCGCCAGCAGCGCCGACGAUAACGACCACCGCUCGGGCUCGGGGUCUCCUCCGGUGUUCACGUCUGUGUUCACCGCGCCCUACCUCGGCGGCUCCCCCUCCCAGUUCACCACAUCGCCGGCUUACGCCGCCGCCGCCGCCGCUGCCGCCGGCCACCCGGGGACGACGACGGGGCAGUGCUUGUGGCUGGUGGCGACCACAGAUCGUCCUGUUGCAUCGGACCGCGCUUUUCUGAUAUGAUGAUGUGAAAAAUAAAUAAAAAUGAUGUGAUUUUAAUUUGCUUGGUUACUCACGCUCCGAGCUUUUCACGGAUGGAACCGGCGGUUUCGGUGUGGUGGAUAGGGUAGGGUUUGACCUGGUAACAAUUUUGAGUGCAUGCUCGGGCUUUUUUUAGGUGUAGCUGUCAGCUGUGUAAUCCAAGUGUCUGUUCUAACCUUUUCUUUUGACUUUGCAUCAAACUUUUCUGAAGGUUGUUUAAGUCCUUUUUUGGGAACUUUUGUGGGCUUGGGAUGUAAUUUAACUUGACUAGAAACAUGUCUAUGCAUUUCAGUGGGAGUGAGGGGGUGCUGCUAUGGUUAUAUAGUAAUUGACUGGAAACAUCCCUAUGUUGUUAAAUUUUGAUGUUGUUAUGAAGAAUGAAGUGAGCCAGUGAUUGUCUGUCACACACUGACAAUGCAAACUCCAAUUGACGACAGGUCGCGCUCUAGCACGAGCAUGCGACCGUACCCACACAGCCUGUGCCUUCUUGUAUCCUGUCUCUUUUCUUCUCCAUCUCCACUGGGUUUAGAAAAGAGGGUCGUGGGAGGCAGGCAGGCCCGACGUUGGGGACCGGAGAGAUGGCAGUGAGGCAGAGGCGACAGUGACGCCACCGGAGCAGGCGGCUAGACAAGGUUGGAUCAAGGGUGACCAAGGCCAUGGCAAUGGAGGGGGAGGAGGUUGUUGUGAGCGUUGUAGGAUCUUGACAAAGCUCUGAGGCUGCGGGCACAAGGUGGAGCUCCGACGAGACCCUAUUAUGUUGCGACGGGGUGACGCUAGGACUAUGAGUUUGAGGUUUAGGAUUUAAAUACUAAGCUUGUUUCGUCAUGUGCCCAUAUAUGUGCCUCAUACUAAGUUGGACAGAGUAGCUCCUACCACAGUAAGAUCAUUUGCAAUAACCGGUCUUGUGAAAAUUAUAUAGUAUGAACAUAAGGUUAAAGAUGUAAAUACCAGCGGUUGAGCAACUCUAUUCAUUAGGUUCUUUGUGGCCGAACUAUCUACUCAGGUUUAAAGUCUUCAACUUGAUACGUGUGUUCUUAUUUUCUGGUUUAUUCCAAUAUUUAAUGAAGCUAUUUUCUUAGUGGUAGGCAAUGUGUUGAUAGCGAGGGUUCUAUAUGGUGAUUUUGUUAAUCUCGAGAUAUGUUGACUUAGUCUUCUAGAGGUGCUCAUAAUGGUAAGACAUGUGCAUGUGUAUUAGAAUUCAUAGGGGUGAGUGUGUGUUUAUGAGUGAUGCAUGUGUGUUAACUUGGUCAAUCUCUACUAUACCAAUCUUCUAGAGGUGCUCAUUUAAAAACCAAGAAAAAUGAUCCAACAUCCAAUUCCAAAUGACUAAUAUUCAAUCCAAUCUAGAAGCCUUGGGCUGGGCGUAGAGCUUUGCCAUCUGGGGCCCACUCCCGCAUGAGCCAAAAGAAUACGGCCAGAUUUGCUGUUUUUUUUAUAUAGGCCCACAAAUUUGCUGUGGCGGUCCGUAAGUUGUACAUUACGCAUGAUGGAGUUGGAUUGCAAAGCGCCAACCAAAGCCCAUUCAGUAUAAAAAAAAACAGAGCCCAUUCGAGCAAACCUCCUUGUGAGGCCGCCGCAACGGCCUAAACGUCUGCACUGCAACGUGACUGGAACCAGCCCCGUCAACCAGUGGCGAAGCCAGCGAAAUGAGAAAGGGGGGGCCAGUUUGGCCAGACAAGAUUCGAGAUUCUUUUUUACACGUACGUGUAGUUACUCUCAUCUUCAAUAAACUACAUUGUGUAUGUAUUUAUACUUAUUUAUCGGUUUGAGUAUGUUUAUAUACUCAUAUUAAGAUACUCUAGAUCUUACCACGCGAAAAUUUUUCAAAAAAAAAUUAUAUUUUAAAUACAUUACUAAAAUGCCACUACUAUAUUAUAUACGAUAAGUAUAACCAUAUACUCACGCAUGCAUACUUAACAUAUAUAUCACUCUAGAUGGUCUAAUAUGAUCAUAUACUUUAUCUAUAUACAUUUCGUCCAGUCAUAUACACCUUAAAUCUAGAGAUAUAUAGUGAGAGUAACUACACGCGCGCGUGUGUGUAUAUAUUAUAUAUAUAUAUAUAUAUAUAAUAGAAACCAUGACAUCUAAAAUUUCUUUUUGAAUUUGUGGUGAAGUAUAUUUGGCAUUCUGUGGAGCAUUAUCUAGCACAACUGCAUUGACCUCUUCGUUAUAUGAAGCGAGAAGUUUCACCAUUUCACGAAAAUUGUCUUGGUUUUUGAAGUAGCUGAUUCAUCAUGUCCUCAAAAAGGACAAGCUUGAAAUGCUAAGUGUCGAACUGCAUCAAUAGAUGUCCCAAGACGCAACCGAUUCUUCUAGAUUUCUUCCUUUGUUUGUUUCUCCACCACAUGCUCAAUAUGGCCUGCUGUAUUCUUCAGAUUAUCAUAACAAUUCAUAUUAUAAUUAUGAGCAGAUUUACUAUCAUUUUCCAUGUGAACCAAGAAUGAACAAUUUGUUGAAAUAUAAGGCAUUUUCAUAUUUAUUUUAAUCCAUAAAAAUGACGCAAUAAAAGGGAUAAUUACGACAUGAAUUAUUUGAGAAAAACAAUUCAUGACAAAUAUUAAAAGGAUGACUAUCAAUUUGCAGAAGCAAAUUAAGAAGACAGAACAUACAACUAAUAUCAUUUUAUUUAUGUGAAUCAUCAUAGUUGUGCUCAAGGUAUCCUCAAUAACCGAAACAAAGAUGAGUACAGAAAUAUAUGGUACCAGUAAAAGAUUAUUCACAUGAUCAUCCAAGCAAAACAUGUAGGAUAAUAGCAAAAUGCUACCCAGGAACAUCAUGAUAUUAACAGUGAAAUUAAUAAUAGGAUGAAGGAGAUUAUACCCUGCGGCAGAACCGUUCGCACCGGGAAAAGUCAUGGUGGUGCUUUGUCGUUGUAGUCGUCCCGCUCGAUGCAGUGCAGAAAAGGUUGCCGUGUAGUCGCCGCAGAAUCACCAGCGAGUAGUCGUGUCGCCAACGACACUCCCCAAAAACGUAAUCGCCCGUCCUCACCCGAGCAGAUGAAGCGCACGACGGAGACGCGUUCCGGAGGCCUACUCUUCCAUCUCUGGUGCUCGCCGGAGAUGGAACGGAAAGGACUUGCGCAACAGGAUGUGGUUUUUCCUUCUAAAGAGAACCGAGAGAGUGCGGGUCCUUUUAUAGGCAAGCAGAAGGAGGAAGGCCAGACGCGGAACAGAAAGGUCGCGACUCUUUGCGGUGGAGGAGACAGAAACUGACAGUAACUCCUCUCAAUCAAGACCAUGAAGGCAGGAGUUACGGGAGUUACCAGAAACUCCUCUCAAUCAAAACCAUGAAGGCAGGAGUUACGGGAGUUACCAGAAACUCCUCUCAAUGAAAACCAUGAAGACAGGAGUUACGGGAGUUACUAGAAACUCCUCUCAAUCAUAAUCAUGAAGGUAGGAGUUACAAGAUUAAAGGCCUCGCCUGCCCGCCCGUCCGCUCAUUCGCUGCCUGCCUGUCUCGCCACGCCACGCCACGCCGUCUCUCGGUUAAAUUCCCAUACGGACCAUAGAGUUUAAUAGAUAUUAUUAAAUUAAUGGGCUAUGCCCAUAAUAUCCAACACAAUUAGCACCCUCAUUCACUUUUUUCCAUGUUCUAAAUCCUGCGUGGAUGAGUUACUGGACCGGAAGUAGGAUAUGUGUCCAUGUGAAAUUGAUAAGGGCCAUGCAUAAGGUAUACUUUACGAACUUAAUCUCUUUCAUUAGCAGGAUACUCCCAAAUUUGCUUACGUAAGCCCGGAUCUCGUUCAACUAUCAGAACACUGGCAUCAUCAAUUUCAGCAUUAACCGUUUGAACUUUUGGUGCUGGUUGUCUUGGUGCUUCUUCAGAAGUCCUCUGUUCAAGGGCUGGGAGCAUCGGCAGACCUCUGUUCUUCAGCAACAAUAGGAGAACUAUUUUGCCCCUGUCCAUGUCCAUUGCCAUCUCUAUCUGUCUUCUUGAAAAAAUAAUCAAUUGUCCUUUUAGGGGGCAUUAUUUCAUACCUAAAUUCUCAUAAGAAUACAAUGAUAAAGACUGAAUUAUAAGUUUGCACGAAUGACGGAUGAUUAUUGCAAAUUAGGCAGUUAGCAAUUGAAAAUAAUAGAAAUCGUACCAUAUAGUUUAUACUUACUUUGCGGCUGCUUGCCUGCUUGCACCUUGCACAGCACAGUUGCGCUUGCGCCUAUAGCUUGCUUACAAAGUCGCAGCGAUUCAGUGCUUGCUCAGGCUCGGUUGCUUGGUGCUCGGCGCUUGCUGUUGGCGGCCGCCGGCCAGACACGGUGACGAUGGCGAACACAGAGUUACAGAGAUCGCUUGUCUGCAGACUAUGAUCCGCUUCGCUUCUGAAUGAUUGAACGCUGAUUGGGAUUGCGCGCGGGGGACUGAAAGCGACACCGACACGAGUAGCGAGGCGCUGUCGUCGAUGUUAAUUUUGUCGCUGCGAGACGUCUACGGCCUUUCCGUAUUUUGUUAUUGGGCUGGGCCAUUAAAUCGUGGAGGAGUUCUAAAAUUUUUUGCCGCAUGGGCAGCGCGGCCUCGAAUGCUCCGAGCAGAACAGAUGCGGCAAUCUCAAUCGCUUUCCAUACCUUGUCCCAAAACCGUUGCCCGCUUUCUGCUCUAGGAAGAGGCACUGGUACUAGCUGCGGCAGCGGCGGCGGCGCCUGUGCAUCGGCUACACACGAAGCCAAAAACUAAGGCAGCAAGAACCAUGAAUCGAGCCAUGCUCACCUGCGAAUUUAGCUUUGUUCAGCCUUAUAGUUCAAUUUAUAGCCCACGAAUCCUCUCGUGACACUGCUUUUCAACCAGUGGCGGAGCCAGCGAAAUGAGAAGGGGGGGCAGUUUGGCCAGACAAGAUUCGAGGACUGGCAAAAUUUUGUCGCUGCGAGACGUCUACGGCCUUUUCGUAUUCUGUUAUUGGGCUGGGCCAUUGAAUCGCUGAGGAUGAGUUCUAAAUUUUUUUGCCGCAUGGGUGGCCACGGCCCCUGCUGGCACCCCCCAGCUCCGCCUCUGCCGUCAACGUCACCCAUGAAUACUUAGCUUGGAGAUGAGAUCACCUCACUAGGACGACGGAGGUGUAUUGCUUGGAUGAGGGACAAAUGGGAGCGUCCGUCGUCCGGCCGUGGCGCCGUGCAGCUCUUCUUCUCCCACGACGACGACAUGGGUUCUAACCUUAAUUUCCGCCACCGUACCCGUGAACGCCGGCGCCAGCCGCAAACUGCAUAAACUUAGAAGCUAAUAAACGUCCGUGCAGUCCAGGACGUGCUGGUAAUACCUCGCAUCAUCAUCAUCCAGGUGAGAUAUAUCACUCGGACACACAGUUUUGUGUGCCAGCAGAAGCUCAGAAGGAGAAAGGAAAUAUUAACAACCUAAUCUAAGCUCAAGCUGCAGCCAUAUUAUAAUAAUAAUCAGUUCCAAGUUUGCAAUCAGUAUCGAGGGCCGGCUAUAUAAUUUUGAGGGCCCUUAUACAAGCAAAAGGAUAAAGACCCAUCAAAUAUUUUUUUUAAUAUGUCAAAUAUAUAAAAUAUAUAGUACAACUAAAAAGAAUUAAUUUGCACCAUAUGUUUUAGUUUAUAAAAGGUAAUUAUAGUACAACAAAUAAAUAAGUAGAAUAGAAUUAGAAAUUUAGAACCUUAUCAUGGAAUACUAAUAACAAAAUUGGUAAAGUCUCGAUCAGUUAUGCCCUUAAUCUUCCUGCUCCAGUGUAUAUCGUGUGCGGACGUGUGGUGUUGUGUUAGCGUGUCAUGGAGUCACACUGUUGCAUUAGACGAUUGGGUAAUAGGACGAGAAGACGACAAAGAGGAACAUUGAUUUGCUCAACUAAUCGAUCAAGCGAGAAUAUGGAGCAACACUAGCAAUAGGUGGAUGUGGAUGACGUACUGAUUAAUGGAUUUCUUUUUUAGAUUAAUUGAUGGAUUUUUAUAGUGUCUAUAUAAGCCUCCAAAAAAUUAGAUAAAUCUAUAUACUAAGUAUUAUAUAUAUUAUAUAUAUAUUUAUAGGCCCCUUAGCGUCAUGGCCUCAGCCGUCGCACCGGCUGCCCACGCCCUAGAGACGGCCCUGUCAGUACCGCACCAGCAUUUAACAUGGAGAAUUACCAAGCAACGUCCGUCCUCGGCGUUGUCUCGGUUCAUUCAACGAUAUAAUUCCAGAAUUGAAGUUGGCGACGGUGUGUCGUCUCAACUCACCUCUCAAGAACCCGUGGGUGUGGCUCUCUUUGUUAUGAUGAUGCUAGGACACACGGCCAAUGGCAAGAAGAGCAGCAAGUUCGAGGACUCGGACAGUCGCAUGUCCAGGCCCAGGUAUUCGGCACCAUUAUAUUCUCGACCAAAUCUGCAUCCAUGCUCCGAUCGAUCCUAUUCCUAUCCAAGUUUUUCGUGGAUUGGUGAACUCGAUCGCAACAUCUAUGGUUCAGGGCCGUGUCAGAGCUGCCGCAGCGUCCAGCUCCAGCACAGCGUCUGAAGUCGUCGCCCUCGUCGUCGGGCACGGAGGCAAGCGGCGGCACGCGCACGCCGCGCCGCGCUCUCGGCGUGCGGGUGACGGCGGCGCCGCGCAGCCCGCUGCACGAGGCAAGGAUGUUCUUCUGAAGUUCUGAUCAGAUAUUCACAUGAACAGUACAAACACAAAACCGUACUUGCCGCCAAUGACUGACCUGGCGUUUGUUUUGUGUGCUGUUGGCUGUGGAUUUUUGUAGAAGAAGCCCGCCGCUGCUAGUGGUCGUGGUGCCGGCGCGGGGACACGGGUGGCGGAGCUGGAGGCGAAGCUGGAGAGGGCGCACGGCCAGCUCCAUGGGAUGCGGGAGCAGCUCGCGGUCACCGAGAAGGCCAGGAAGGACGCGCGCGCAGCGCUCGUGGAGGCCAAGAAGCGCUUGGCCGCAAAGAAGAAGGACGAUCUCGCCGCUUCGGCGCCGGUCGAGCACGAUGGCGGCAAGGAGCCAGCCGCCGCAGCCAAGGAUUCUGGUGUCGAUGAGCGUGACGACAACGAGGAGAAAAGCUACGUGGCGGCGGUAGUGCCGAGAGAUCACUCGGUGAACAACGAGGACCCGCCGGUGGUCGAGGAGGGCAACAAGACUAGUGAUGGGGAGGAGACGAGCAAUGUCGUUGACGAUGACGACGAUGGCAACAACAACAAGAAGGGCAGCCCGGAGGUUGAGACGCUGAGGGCGAAGCUGAUGGCGAAGGACAUGGAGGUGUACGAGCUCAGGGCGAAGCUGAUGGUGAUAGACACGGAGGUUGACGACCUGAGGUCCAAAGUGGUGGGCAAGAGCACGGAGAUCGACGAGCUGAAGGCGGCGCUGAUGGCGAGCGACGAGCUGGUCGACAAGCUGACGGCGAAUCUGCUGGUCAAAGACGCGGAGAUCGCGGCUCUCGAAGCCGACAACGCCGACCUCACCAAGAUGGCCGAAGAGGCCGCCGAGGCCGCGAAGUCGACGGCCGCGAUGGCGCGGGAGACCGAGCACGCGCUGAGGGAGAGCGCGGCGCGGGAGGCCCGGCUCGCCGAGCGGCUGCGGGUUUCGGAGCACGCCCGGGACGCGCUGGAGGCCAACGCGCAGCGCUUACGCGUGCAGAGCGAGCAGUGGCGCAAGGCCGCAGAGGAGGCCGCCGCGGUGCUAGCAGGUGGCAGCGGCGGCGCCGUGGACAAUGGCGGGUACGACAAACGGCGCCACUGGUCUGGCUCGGCCUGCGCUGGUGGUGGUGGGAGUGAAAGCAAUGCGGCGGCCAAGGACGACGACGAAGACGGAGCCAGUGGCAAGCGAAAGCCCGCGGGCGGCGCCAUGCGGGCGCUCAGCGACCUGUGGAAGAAGAAGGCGCAGAAGUGAUCUCGAAUUCAUUUUGCUCUUGUGUUCUGUUCUCUGCUAUUCCCCAAGGAUAACACCGUCGAGGUUAAUUUACUGGACUAUUUAUGUUGUCUUACUAAGGUAUAUUAAGAUUAAUUAGCCAAGAUGGUAUAUACCCAAAAUAAGCUCCGUGUUGUGUCUGUCGUGUCAUCGUGUGUUACGGGCUUACGGCUUACUGAUUGCCCAGUUCGACUUCUAAAUUAUGAGAAGAACAUUGCUGUGUGCCUGAGUGGUCCUGUACUUUUAAGUUCAAAACUCGUCAUAUAUGCUGGUCCUGUACACGAUGUUUGUUUGUUUCAGCAAAACGCAAGUCGGUUAGCUCUAGCCAACAGAUUAUUAUCUAUUUAUCUGAAGAAGCUAACCACUACGACAGAACCAUUGUCACAAAUGGUUCUAAACCCAUCGUCACAGAAUGUUUUUUUCCCGUCAUCGGUGAAGGUUGGUGUUGAUAAACAGAAACAAAAAAACCAAAAAGGGCGCAGGCCAAGCCCAUCAGCGAGCCUUGGAGCCCGUUGUUGAGCCCGGGUCCUUCUGUUUGACAGAAAAAUCACUUCAACAGAGAAGAGGCUACUGAAGUACACAAAAAUAAUAAACAAGAGGGAACACAUUUUAUACAUAUUUAAUAAAAAUGCAAAUAUAGGUCCCUUGCACAAAUGCGCUCCACAAGUAGCCUUACGAUGAUGAUCUAACUUGAACAAUGUGGCCUUUCGCUCCGAGGGCUUAUCCCUAUGAGUCAGGCUCACAGAGGAUCCCUACACGCAUAGGUUUAAGAGGUUGUACACAAUAUCUUGCUUGGUGUGUGCUUCUUUGUUUUUUUCUUGAGAUCAUUGGCAUGUUUUUCAUUAAGCAGAAGUAGAAAGUUUUGUUACAAAACCAAGUUACAAUAAUCAAAAGAUUCCCAAACCUAUAGCCCACACCUCUCACACUUCUCGCACGUGGUUGUGAUUACACAAGAAACUAGUUUGUGAGUAAGACAAGAACAUACCUUAGACCUCGUCCAUCCUGACCAUAUCCAAGUUCAUGACCAAUGGGUCAAAUUCCCCACCAAAAAGAAGCUGCAGCGCCUCUUAUAUGGAGACCGAUAAUGAUAUCUGGAAGGUUAAUUUGUACUUACACACCUGUUUUAGAGUCGACGUUAGGCGAGCUUGCUAUAACUCCCAGCUUCUGCAUGAGCAUGCACUGAGCCUGCUUGGUGGAGUUCGCCUCGCGUGGCUUCGCAGUGAGGCGUUCCCUGGGCCGCAGCGACUAAAUGGAGACUGGAGUCUUGGGCCUACGUAGCCUAGGCGGCCCGCGGACGAGGGACGUCUACAACGAAAGGCAAAGCCACACCUCCAACAUUCCAUGAAACGUAGGGGUACAGAAUCAAAAAUCUCGAACACUGGCCAACUCACAUCGUCAUUGCUCGAGGAGCCCCUGGCGUGCCUAGCAUCUCCAUUUCUCUAGGCGAAGUCAAGACUAGCUAGCCAUUGCUAGGAUCAUCGACCACAAUGGUAGCCACGUUUCCAUGGCAUGGCUCAACCAUAGUCACAUAAAACGGGUUUAUCACCUUUGAUCCUCGACCUAGGUUCGUCGACCCCGACCCGAAUUCAUGGGCUUAUUUUUGAUCUGAAGUGUAAAAAUCUCUCGCAAGUAUCGUACCACGUAUCACGAUCCCGUACCUCGACCCCAUCGACCCAGAAACUUUGUGACUAUGGGCUCAACAAGCAUAAUGAAAAGCUCAGCAAGACUCUUCACUUCUCUUGGUUCAACAAGCAUAAUCAAAAGCUCAGCAAGACUCUUCACUUCUCUAAAUUUUUAAUCUCCAUGCACAUCAGUAAUAAAGAGUUGAAGUUUACAAGAGAGGUGGUCUAACUCUCUUCUUGAGAAAUCAUUAGGAUAAUUAGAGCAAGCUUAACCAAAUUGGCUUUGUCGUAAGCAACAAAUGAGUCAGCAGGGACUGAAUUGUGCCAUGCAAAGAAGCAAAUCUAUGUAUACCUCAUUGAACCUGUCAUUAAGCUCUCAAAGUUGCCUACGAAUAAUACUUCAGAUUCCAAACAUGUCAACAUACGAGUGAUAAAUAUAUAUGAAUAUAUUAUGAUCGAUUUAUGUCUUCGAAGUUCGCUUUGUGCGGUUCCAUGUAAUAGAACUUAACUACAUCUCGUGCUGCCCUUUUAAGUGCACUAUGUUGAUGGAUCAGCAAGGAAGUUCUAACCACAAGGGUCGCAACACCUUGCAAAAAUGAUUGUGUAUACACAGAAAGCAUGCCGCUCAAUCAUUGGAAAUCGAAAUCACCUUAAUUAUUUAUUAUAAAUUAGCUUGUAAUAAGUAAUAGUAAUGUGUAAGAGUUUAAGCAUUUCUAACAGUUUUGCAUAUUGCUUUUGCAUUCUUGAUUUUUGUUAAAAUUCAUAGAAACACCUCUCCAACAGUUUUGCAUAUUGGUUUUGCAUUUUUGGAAACUUGGCAAAUUUCAGGGGAGGCUUGGCAUUUAUGCAAGUCCGUCCGCGACUUGGCAAACACCGAUCUGCCACGUCCCUCUACAUUGCCAUGGCGCACGCGGGCCUCGCCACCGCACUGCUCGUGCUCUACGUCCUCUACCUGCUGCUCGCCGACUUCCUCCACCCACUGCAGUAGGUGCUGCUUUGCUCCGUCCCGCUCCGCGAGACACAGCGCACGCUCGUCGCCUUCUGGGAGCCCCCGCUCGGCGGCGGCCUCAGCGCCGCACUACUCACACUGCCAGUCGCCGCGCUCCGGUCCUCGACCGCCACGCUCGCCGACGCGCGCGCUGCGCUCCUGCGCCGCCCACUCCCGAACUCGUCGACAUUCCCGUGCCUCCUCCGCUGGCUCGUCUCCUUCUUCUUCUUUCUCGUCCUCUUCGAGUGCCUCAACGCGAGUGGCGGCGGACUUCCUCAACGCGAGUGGCGGCCGACUUCCUGAACGCACGAAGAAAGCCCGCGAACGGACCGAGACCGCGCGUGAAAACUUUCGGCAGUUGAGUCCACAUUUUGGUAAAUGGCAAGUCAGAUUUGCAAAACUCUUGGAGAUAUCUUAUUUUUCUACUUUCCAUUUGCUUUCUGGAGUUGGCAAACUCCAACAAGUAAUAACAAAGAAAAAUUGCUAAACAGCUGGAGAUUCUCCCAAUAAAUUCCCACAGUAACCCAUCAAGGCCCUGGUGUCGAUGAGUGGCCCCAUGGGCAAAACCCUUACAAUAUAGGGGGUGAAGGGAUAGAUGGUGAUGGUUGGCACGGUGACAGUGUCGGCUCCAAACAUAUCACCUCUAGGCAGUGGUGGAACUUGACUGUGCGCGUGCAGCGAAGGGCGCGUUCUAGUAGUAGCUGGAUGCGCGUGUUCAAAGUGGUCGGUGAGCAUUCAUGUGUGAGACAAUAUGCAAACAUACUAUGUUUGAUGAAAUAAAACAAUAUAUUAAAUUAUGUAAAUAUAUAUAAUGUUACGAGAAAAUAACUUAAAUUAACUAUGAGAAAUAACAUAGCCCACUGCUGACUCUAUGAACAUUUAUCGUUAUCAUUAUUAGUCCACUUAUAUAGUAGUUAGCUCAUAAAUAGUUUCUAUUUCUCUUUUCUCUCCACUAUUCUAGAAAAAAAAAUUAUUUUCAAUUUUUACUGUACUUCUCUGAAGUGUAAAGCAUGUGGGCCGUACUCCGAUAUGGGUCCAUGUAAGUUUAUUAUUAUUGGAUUAAAAGGAGAAAGUUGAUAUUUAAGUUUUAUAAUAUUAUUAUUUUAUUAUGUGAUCUAUGUAUUUUAAAUAUAAAAUGUUAGCUAUUUCGUAGCAACUUAUGAGUAUGCUACCUAGUUGGAUUAAAAGGAGAAAGUUCAAUUAGGGAUUGUAGAUGCAUGCACGUCAAUGUUGAGGGGCCGUGUGGUUCAGCUUUUACCAGUUUGUAGCAGUACUGUAGCACAGCGGAUUCAGAGUUUGGUAGAACUAGAAAUUGUGGCUCUCAUUUUUCACUUUGGAAACCAAAAUAUUGGGAGGAGGAGCCGACCUGAAAUGAGGACGUCCAUCUGUGCACUGAACCACACAUGCCCAGCCCAGACAACUAUAAAUGGAAACGCAAAAAGGGACUGAACACAAGACCGCUUCAGGCCUUGUUUAGUUCCCAAAAAAUUUUGUAAAAUUUUUCAGAUUCCCCGUCACAUCGAAUCUUUAGACGCAUGCAUGGAGUAUUAAAUAUAGAUGAAAAUAAAAACUAAUUGCACAGUUUGGUCGAAAUUGACGAGACGAAUCUUUUGAGCCUAGUUAGUCCAUGAUUGGAUAAUUUUUGUCAAAUACAAACGAAAGUGCUACAGUGUCGAUUUUGCAAAAUUUUUUGGAACUAAACAAGGCCUCAACAAAGAUGGACAAAAACAAAACCUCCGGCCUUGCUAGAUUUGGGCAGAUAACAUGCGCCGUUGCCAUAUUUGGAUAGCUCUCUGCAUCAAAAAUUUGCCCCAAACGAAACAACCGUAGCACUCCAAUUCAUUACGUCAGUACGAGAAACAGUGAAAAGAUCACAUACCAUAUAUAGAAAGCACUCAUAACAUGGACACAGCAUCAAGCCCAGAGGGCCAAUACAACAAAGCUCUCUCUAGCCAGUACCACAUAGUUACUGUACACUUGACAUUGGCACCAAGAAAUCCAACAGAACAGAUCAUCCAAUCCAACCCUACCGACCUACUCCUACAUUGCAAGCCGUACGUCCAGCUAGCCAUUGUUCCUGGUCCAUGAAAGCAAUCAGUGCUAGCUCCUGGUGGCCUCCAGUGAUCUCCGGGGGCAUGAGCCCGAGCAGAGAGGUGUUGUUGGUGUCGAUGGCAGAAGCAUCUGCGUCUGCGUACGAACCAACCAUCUCUCGACAGCGGUGUGGGUGACUAUCACUGGAUGCGGAAGGGGUCCAGGCGGUUGUCUCCGAGGCGCGAUCGGUAGGCAGCCUUCUUGUAGUCGCCCCAUGUGAAGUCCCUGUACAAGCUCUGCUCGCCGUGCCCCAGCACCUGCGGCAAUGGCGCGAUCCGCUGCGCCGGCGCCGGUCCCGCGAAGUAGAUCAUGGACACCCGCGGCUUCAGGCUGUUGGCCACCACCCGGUGCCGCACACUUUUCAGCCUCCCAUUCGUCAGGACCUAUCGAUCGCAGCACGUACACAUCUGUCAAUUCAUUGCCUGCGCCUGCAUGCUGUCGUCGCCGUCUCGGCGCGGCCGGCGUGCGUGCGUUGCGUACGACGUACGACCCCACCCAUCACCCAUGCAUGCAUGCCCAAAAUGAAUUAAAUGUAACGUAGUACGGGUUGUUAUAUUACCUGCAGCGAGUCGCCGACGAUGACGAAGAAGGCGUCGCGGUCGGGCGGCACGGGCACCCACCGCCCCCCGUCGUCGUGGAGCGCGACCUGCAGGCCGGCCGUGCCGUUGGAGCGCAGCACGGACACCAGCUGCGGGUCCGUGUGCUCGCCGAAGCCGGUGACGCCGCACGAGUCCGGCAGGCGCUGCAGCAGCGGGCACGCCGGGUAGUGGUUGAUCCGGAACACCUGGUCGCUCGCCGCGUCCGUCACCAUGCCGCUCAGCGCGUCCCUCGGCGCCACGCCCAGCCCCUCCGCCACCGCCUCCAGCACCGACGUCGCCAGUCCCCGCACGGCGGCGACGUACUGGUUUACCGCGUCCCUGCACGCACGCACACACGGAGUAUACCUACCCAUCGUUAGAAUAGAACCGCACGCACGCGCCAAGGCAAUAAUAAUAAUGGCUCCACUGACACUAAUUGUCUGAUGUGGGCUGAUUGAUUGAUUGAUUGGUUACCGCACCGCAGCGAGGAUGACGGGACAGGGGAGGCCUUGGACACCGAGGAGGCGCCGUCGAGGGCGAGGAGGAGGUACUCGAGCCACCCCAUGUCGCCAUUGCGGCCGAUGCGCUUGUUCCCGUACCCGAGCGGGUUGGCGGGGCCGCACGCGUCCUUGUCCGCCUGCGGCGACGCGAAGAACCUGACGGCCUCGGCCUCCAGCCGAUCCACGACGCCCGUUGGCACGCCGUGGUUCACCACCUUGAAGAAGCCGAACCGCUCGCACGCGUCCACCACGGCCAGAGCCGCGCCGGGGCUGGACAGGUCGACGGCCGGCACGCCGAAGAAGGACGCCGCGUCCCCGGGCUGCGGGCAUCGAAGCAGGGAGAUUUGGUCGAGCGCCGGCGGUGGCUUCGCGAGGACGACCAUUGCCAAAUGCCAAGAAGCAGAGCAAUGUACCCCGUAGCUAGCCGGACCGAAGCUCUACCACACUGGUCACUCUCACUGCUCGAGCUCGAGUGCAUGUGGCGAACGAAGGCUUCAUGGCUCGUAUAUAUAUAUAGCUAGGGAGGGAAGGACAGGGCGACUGCAGCAGCGGGGCGGGGCCCCACGCGGUGAUACGAAACGAGCGGGGAGGGAGCGAACGACGUUGGUUAGGGCUGUUCAACGUCGUCCUCGUCCCCCACCUUUUCCUGUCUGGUUUCUUGCAUCGUGUUUCUGAACUUUUUAUCCCUCUCGGGGCCUUCUGAGCGCGGCAGAUCCGGCGAGCUUGAUUCGUGGGUGGCAGUAGCGUGCUACAGCCCCGGGGGGAAGACGCGACGUGUCCCGACGUGAUCCGCCGGUGCAGUGGGGUCGGAGAGCGAAGGUGAUAAGUGUCCGGGUGCUCUCAGAUAAUGUUUCUGUUGAUGGAUUCCUGCAAGGGCCAAGGGUACAAUGACGAGGCGGCCUCCAUCAGUAUAGGAUCAUCAGAGAGCUUUCUGAAUGAGCGAGCAGUGUGCAUGCAGUGGUUUGGGCACUCUAAUUAAUGAUUGCCGCGCUUCACAAUUCACAUAAGCUCGGCCCUUAAUUGCUGAAGAAAGUCUUACUUAAGACUUAUCCACCACUCUACAACUGUAUACUUAACUUUGUUCGAUUAUCCAAAAUAAUAACUUAUCUUACUCUCCUACGAGACGUUGCUCCUUUUCUUUUUUGCAGAUUAUUAAUUAUUAUAAGAACAAAAAGCUAGAGGAUCAGAGAGGAGAAACAAGAAUGGAGAGCUUUGAAGAUUUACCGUCUUUUUUCUCCUCUUCGUGCUAUGACAUUGAAGAUUAUUUAGCCCUGUAAGGGGUUUUUUCUUACGCUACCGCCUCCUCCAAAGACCACUGCCAUAGGCUUCUUCAGCAUCACUACUAUGGAUCCCCUCAUCCUCCUCGUGCAGCGAUCUCGUCGGCGGUGAGAAGGACCAGGACUCUCUGACAUCCAGUCUAAUUGAAUUAGUUAGGGUUUGGAUUGAAUAAAUUAUAUCUCAUAGAUUUUCACAUGGUAUUUUCUUCGUUGAUUUCUUGUCAGAUCUUGUUUCUUGUAGAGGACUCCAUGUUUAGACAUUCAACGUGACAUUCUUCAUGUUGUUUUUAUUUUUACAGAGUUGAUGCGGUUGUUGGCAAUUGCCAUGUUUCCCAUUUACAUCUUUGUGUUACAACCUCACUAAGGUAUGAUCUCUUGAUAGACAGGAAGUUAUUCGAACUUCCACAUUUGUCAUGAUUGGUAUUAGUGGUGCUAGAUUGAUGGUCACUUGAUCAUAUUUGAUGACAAGGUGGUUCAUGCUCUUUAAAUAGUAAUAACGGAACUAGGAGUUCUUUGACCCAAGGAAGCAAACAGGGGGAGGGGAUGAAUUGGGUCUUUGAAAACCUAAACAUAUAGGACUUUCUUGAUCUAUAUUUUUUUAAAAAAUCAUAAACUAAAUGUGCACCUCAUGUUUUUCUAUGUGUUCUACCUACCCAACCCUAAAGAGUUUACAAACUAGAGCCAAAAUAUAUCAAUAGUCUAGGACAACCUAGGAAAGAUAAAGAUCAUACAAGUCAAGCACAAUGUGGUAAGUGAAGAGCAAAUCAGGAGAGGACAAACUCCUAAGGAUGAGAUGUGUCAUGUGGUAUUGGUUACCCAAAACACAUCAAGCCUUCCCCCAAUCAUGCUGUUGAGGUCACCACGAAGGCUUGUGCAACCAAGGCAAGUGAUGCAUUCCACCAAGGCUCACCACUAUCGCUUGCCUCUUCUAGCCACCUUGGCGCUAUUGACUACAAAGCUUAUCCACCAUGAAGGUAUCUCCUCAGUCUCUAUACAACAAGGGGCCAUUGCACUUGCCACACACCAAGCUCGAAAGGUCAACAUCACAAGGUUAUCAAGAUUCUUGUUAGAAGGCCAGUAAGACUCCCAGUGCUCUGGCUCAACAAGAUUGUAAGGGCACAACAACCAAAACACUCAAACUCUUUUUAAUGACCAAACUUGGAGCAACAAUAAUGGACUCCCUAACCACCUUCUCAAGAAAGUGCAACACCAACAAUAUGGAUCAUCAUUAGAGAGCAAUCUCAUCUCAUGUGUCUUAUCUAGCUAGGCGGUGAACUACCUCCAUUGUAAUUACCAAUUGGACCUUAGGAGUAGGAAGUUCCUCCAACUAAGAUGUGGCACAAGAAAGUUGGACAAGGAGGUGCCCAAAGGAGUCUUCAUGAUGACAUAGGCAUCUGUCCCAACAUCCGGUAGUUAUUGGCGGCAUUAGAGAAGAAUGUAUGCAAGUAGAGUUGGUAGUGGGUGCGACUAACAGAUGAUCUAUCAUAGAUCAAGAUCUAGGUGAAGUGACUUCUAGCAAGUAGCCAUCCACCUUGGGUUUGGAGAUGACAAGUAGAGAAUCAUGCGACGAGCGUGAUGAUCCAGGGUGUAACAUCGUGUGGAACUUGGAGUUGGAGGUGGUCAUGGACUCAUGGAGCCACUAGUGGUGGGGAGACCUCAGAUUUAUAGCUUGGGGUCCAUCCAAUGAGAAACAAGCUACGCUAGAUGGAACCUCAGCUACAAUAGCAAUUGCAAUAGUAAUGGGAACCAAAGAUUGAAAAAUGGUGCUAGAGAAUGGCAACUUGGGAGCUCCUUAAGGUAAGGGGAGCGGUGGCAGUGACCAAUCAAGUAUUGCAAAAGCAAAUAGUGGCAGGCUAGCUUUAGUGACAAAGAGGCAAGAGAGUAUGUUGUUGGUAGAGAAAAUCCUAGGCAGAUUGUCUUGCGCUUCGCCUAUUAGGACCUCACCCAUCCCAAAUUGAGCAGCUUCAAUGAUUAGAUUCUGAGGUCCAUGUAAUGUUGUUUGGUGUGGAUGCGGAUGUGAAAACACCUGAAAGAUUCAACAUCUGUAGUUGUUUUAGUGUCAAUAUGGAUAUCCAUAUCCGCAUUUGAUUUUAAUAUAGAUAAAAUGUGGAUGUAUUCAUAUUAUUUUUUAUGAUUUUUCUCUAUCUGGACAUUCGUAUUUGAAAAAUGUAAAAUAUCUAAUAUCAAGGCCGGCUAAAACUUAAAUCUAUGACUAGUUAGUAAUGUAAAUGAUAUCAACUUUAAUAUAACAAAUGACCACUAAAAACUUAUCUAUGUGGUUAAUAACAUUAUAUAUUUUGUUAUUGUUAAUGACAUAUAAAGGCUUGUUUAAUAUGGUUAAUCAUAUUAACUUUAAGUACUUUAGCAAUUCAUGUAUUGCUGAAACUAUUUAUAUAUAUAUAUAUUUUAAACUAUUUAUUGAUAAAUAUUAUUUAUAGUUUUAUUGAUUUUGAUAUAUUUAUCUAUUAAAAUAUAUUUAUUACAUAUGUUGGUUUUUAUGAUUUGUGGUUAUCCACAUGUGUUAUAUAAUCAUAUUAUUCUCUACAUGCGUAAUGAUUUUAUUUUAAUAAAAUUGUCAACAAGUAAAUAUAUAUGUGUUGUUAUCAAAAUCUAGUAGAUAUCCAAAUGCAAAUCUGAGAUAUUCGUUUUACAUUCAUAUCCAAUAAUACCAUAUUUGUAUCUGAAUUUGAAUUAAAAUAUGUUAAAUACUCCUUUACAACUUUGAUUCCAUACGGAGCCAGUCUGAUCCAUCCUUAAAUCUCGUUGUAGAGGAUCUGGCAGGCGAGCGUCAAUGGAACCUAAGACACCGUUCAAGUUAAAAAUGAGUUGUUCAGGAUACUAUUUAUUAGAAGUCAUAAUCUUCCAAGUUUGAGGACUGUUUCGUCAAUUUGAAAGUUUAUUAAGCCCUCAAUCUUAAAUUUCUCUGUGCUCUUUCUUCCUCAAAGAUAGAUUUCGCCAAGUGGCUACACACACGGGGUAACGUUCUUUUCUUUUUUUUUUGGAAGAAAGAGGCUAAAGAUUGUUGACAAGUCAUGCUACUAAGGGUAGAGCUUGAAAAACUGGCCAACGCUAAUAUAAAGUUGUUAGUGUCAACUCAAAAUCAUAUAGUUACAGUAUACUGGCAGUAACGUCUGAGAUGACGUUGUUUCACCAAUCAAAGCAACAACAAAAUGACAAAUUUGUCGGCCAACUAAACGACCAAUCGGGUACGAUCGGCUAUACCUUUCAAAUUAAACUUGAGUAUGGUGCACACAUCAAUCAGAUUUACAAGUGCUUUAGGGCACUCACAAUGCAGACUUUAUUAUGGAGUCUAAAGUUAUUUAUUACCUCGAAUAAUGUGGACUUGGAGUCUAAAUAAGACUUGGAGUCUUAUUUUUUCUACCUCUUUCUUCAAUAAAUAUGCUGCCACAUCAGCAAAAUACCAUAAAUAAUAUGUAAUUAAUUGUCUUAGACUCUGUGAUAGAGUCUUGCAUUGGGAGUGCCCUUAGGCCAGUCUCAGUGGCCCGUUUCAGUGCACUGUUUUGAAAAUAAAUCCGCUGACAGAGUAUUAAUGAAACGAAUAAUGAAACAACCUCCACAAUGCAUGAGUUUCACCUUGACGUUUCCUAGGCUGGGCAAAACAUUUAAUUAUUGUAAAAUGAUUUGAUCACAUGCAAGAUGGUGAAACAAUUUAGCCCUCAGUGAGGAUUUCAUCCCGUUUCACCGCGUGGGAAACAACGCCAGCGGGGUUUCACCAUGGUGAAACUACUUCCUUCUCUCUCCUCUUCGUUUCAUGCAAAAAGUGUAAUUUUGCUGACAUGACACUCUAAUAAAUAUGCAUGACAUCCUGGUGAAACCUCCACUAAGACUGGCCUUAGAACAUCCAACGAGACAAGUUACGCUGCAUGUUUUUACCCAUUUCUUUGCUAAUAACUAUAUUAAUAUAUAACAUAUUACUAUAAAAUUUAUUAAAUUAUAGUUGGCCUAUAGUACAAGUGGUUAUCUAGAUUAAAAAUUUCGAAGUUAGAGCAUCUUCAUCCAAUUGAGUAAAACUAAUCCCCUUUCCUUAAAACCAGCAACAAAGGAUAUUGAAACAAAAAAAAUGAUCCAUCAUAUCUCUUUUCAAUCCUUUUUUUUCCUCAAUCUCCCACGUUCCCAACUCAAACCCUCAAAUGAAGGGGAACAACCACCGGUUUUCGUCAACCCCUUUCUUUCUCCUCAUCUUACUGACAUUGCAGGUUCUCUGCAUUGCCACCGCAAGCACGCAGGUCACCGCGGCGCCAUCGUGCCAGGCGGAUGAGCACGCGUGCCAACCAUGCUAAUCGAGCUUGGGGGUGUUGUGAUACCUUGUCGGGCGAGCUUGGGGUGAUGCCACCACUCAGGGUGGACAAGUGCUUUGGCUGACCGCUGUUGUCGUGCCGACGAGUGAUUGAGUGCGCGAGCAACCGUACUUUUGUUGUCCGUGCACCGGCAAGGAGGGAGGAAGAGGAAAGAGAAUAGAGGAGAGGAAUUGGAGGAGUUACCACAGACAUAUAGAGGAGAGGAAUUGCGAGUGUUGAAAGAGUUUUUUCUAUCAUGAAUUAUGUGAAGAACAAAUUGAGAAAUAAGAUUGGGGAUCAAUACUUGAAUGAUUGCUUGGUUACAUUUAUUGAGCGGGAGUUCUUUCUACAAGUUAAGGACAAGGACAUCAUCAACCGCUUCCAAACCAUGAAGAGUCGCAGGAUUAAAGCAACAUUAUAAUUUUUUGUAAGUUUUUUUAUUAGUUAUCAGUUUGAUUCAUGCAUAAUUUAGUGUUGAUUCGCUGAACAAUUUAUUAUUAGAUUGUUCUUGUGACUUCAGUUCGAUGGGAAUACCAAGUUUUGGUUCUAGGCUCCGCCACUACAUAUAGGUGGUCUCACAUAAAUAAAGAGGAUGCAUCUUCUCAUCCUGCUGCAUGCUGCAGAAGCUCUCCCCUAUAACCUAUAAAUCAGUUUUCUUAAUGCCCUUAUAGAUGAUUUUUAAGGGAAACAUGAGCUGGUGGAGAUGCUCUUAGGUCAGCUCUAAUGGUGACUUAUGACUUAUGAUUAAGAGCUAGUCUUCACACGUUUUAAGAGUGAGGAAGUUAUGUGAGACUAUUCAUGUUGCGAGUUAUUACUCCGUAUGUGAUAAAAGUUAGUAUCUUUGGAGAAGUUGCAUUACUGGCUCAUUUUAUUAUCGAUGAUGCCAUUAUACUCCUGUAGUACACGAUAAUCUAUGGCUAAUAGUAACAGGAGUACGUUAAGAACUCUUGUUUUGUUGGUGUUUUGCACGUGAAUGCGAUCUGCCGGGCAACUCCCAUUUGGGGAACCCGGGGAAGUGUUGGUGGACUAGUGGUGCUCUGCACAAAAAGUUCUCGCGCGUUCUGAGAAAUAAUUCCGCGCGCGUGCGUCCGUCGAGCGCUGGUCCAUCCCGACUUCCCGAGGUCGCGGCUUCACCGCACGCACACUCUCUCCCGCCGUCCUUGCCUGCCCUGCCGACUAGGCAGGCGCCACCAUGGCAGAGCACGUUCGCGGGCAGCAGAUCGAUUCUCCUAUUCCAGCACGCGACACACGCGCGGCAACACAGAAAGCGGACGCGCGGUCGAACGCGGCACGCACGGCGGAUAAAGAGAUAAGCCUCGACAACCUGAAGUGAUCUAGCGCUGAUGCGGCCGGGUGCGGGCAGCUCCGGCGGUGGUCGGCAGCUCGAUCGAUCACGAUCAGCAUCGGCGCGCGGCUGCUUUUUCUGUGGGGGCGGGGCGGAGGAGCUAGAGGAGGAGCCGGCAUGGGGCAUCCGGAAUCGCGCGGCCGCCGCCGUCACGCGACGGGAUCGGUAUCCAUGCACUGUGCGGGGAGGCUCGCGUGCGCGGUUGCGUUCGACCGGCGACGUGGCCGCGGGAUCCGUUGCACAAAUGGUAUCGGGACUGUGAGCAAAAGGGGUUCCUGAAUAGCAGAGGAUCGAUGCCCUCCAGCAGUCCAGCGCUCCAGGGAUUGUGCGUAGAAGGGGCACCUCACAGGAUGUCCGAGCCCUACUGCAGUCUGCAGGCCGGUGAAGCGACGGGAUAGCGCGCCAGCGAUAGAUCAUAGAUGUCGGAGCGGUCGGGAAGCAGUUUACGAUCGGGCUGUGAAGAAGGGACAAACUCGAAGUCGGCAGGAGAGUGCUUUCCUGUUCCUGGUGCAUGCUCUCACUCCGGCAAAUCUACCCGGCCCGUCGUUUCGGCAAAUCUACUUGUAGGGGUUAUGAUACCUCGGGUAUAUCAAGACAGUGAUAAGUUAGUCACUCGGGCGACCUAUGGUACACAAGCCUGUAUAAGCCCAAACGACUGAGGCCAAGCUAAGUCAUGUGAACUUAGGCCAAGCACUAAGGUGAGGGCCAACCACGACCUUUCCCCUGCCUUCACUGCAUGUCACACGAUCCCUCAUGACCUCUCCUCCAUUCCGACCCCUAGGAAGAACAAGGAGAGAUCAAGCUUAGCCAAGUGUGCCUGCUCUGACAAGAGUAGGCAGACCACACUGACCUCACAAGGACCAAGGGGACAGUAGUCCCCUCAGCCCGGUUAGACGCCAUCCCUAUGCCACGUAGCACAGACAAGACAACACCGCUAGUGAGGGUGAUCAGUAUGGUGCCCACCAUCCGAAAAUGGCUCGAUGAGAUGGUCACACGGUCCUACCCACUACGAGAUGGGGCUUAUGAUUGUGAACUUGUCCUCCAAGCUAACAUAGGCCAUAGUGCCAAAGCUCGAGAUCAUGGCCAUUGACACCACACAUAGCAAGGCAACCAACGACUAGGGUGGCUACCAACUCCUAUAUGAUGCCCCCGUGAGAACAGGAGGAGAUGAGAAAGGCCACAAUGAAGACCACGUCGCACAGAUGGUUUGCAAGACACCAUCAUGCCUAUAGUGCCACCACAACUGGCAUAGUAGCACCACACCAUGCCAUGCCAUGGACAUAAGACAAUGAUGAUGACCAUGCCCAGACGUGCAUUGCAAGAUGGUGUCACUUGCAAGCCAAGCUAGCUAGGUUCCCUCCCUUAGGCUCACGACCCCUCGGUUAGGAAAACCUCCUUCUUUGUAUGUGACUUGGUUCCAAUUAGCAUUUCUUGGGUAUUGAAUACAAUUAGAGGGUCUCGAGUAUUGUGGUGACUUCAAGUGUUGGGCUCAUGGGCAAUGAUGCCCUCUCAAAUUCUGAGAUUCACUCGGGUAACGUAGAGAUGACUGUUGCACAUCAUUAAAUCUUGUUGAAAAUAAGGAUCAAAGUGCAUGGAACCUUGUGCUUUUACUUCAUGAAACACUUUUGGUGACUGCAUCCAUCUUAAAUGCUAACCACCAUCUCCCCCACUACCAUCCUCAGGGUGCUUAUUUAAGCCAAGGGGAGGGAGGCCAAUGAGUCUCUCCUCUCAUCUCCCCUAAAUCCAUUAGCAUUAGACUGAGUGAGGAAGUGGCAACCCUUCUUCAUGCGCCAUGAUUCACGAUGCCUCUCAACGGUUUCAUUGUCGUUGGGAGAAGGCUUUCAAGAUUGGAUUCUACAGCGUCCUGCUCAUGGUCAUUUAUCUUGGGUGUUAGAGGAAGUCCCACGAAGAUGAGGAGGAACAACAUUCAUGAUUGUAUCAGGAGAAAGAAGAACUGGAGUACGUAUAAGACCUUAGAAAACAUCUACCACAAUGCCUAACUCAGGCGAUUACAAAUGGGAGCUAGACCAGGUUUAGAGAACAACAGUAUCUGACAAAAAUCGAUAAAACAAAUGUCGGCCUAAGUACCAAAACAUGAAUGCACUGUAAGAAACAUAGCAAGCUCUCAGCACAUAGGAACUUCAACGAUUGCGAAAUGCAAAAUCCAGCCACCAUCCCUUCUUAGUCCUCCUAACUAUCCUUCUCCUCUUCUAUCAUCAGGCGUUUGACGCUUCUUGGAUUUCAUCUUGUCCAACAUCUUCAUGAUGAUUUCCAGCAUUUUGUUGACCCUAGCAAUUAAGACCUCCUUAUCAUUCUCUAGAAAGAGUCAUGUCCAAUAACUCAUGAGCGAACAUACAUAAGAGAUAAUAGUAAUGGGGCUAGUUAUAACAUGCCCUUCAAAGCACACUAUGUUUCCUCUUUUUCAAAUUGCCAAGCAAACUGCGGCAAUCCACACAGCAUGACAUGUAUCACUUACAAGCAGGCAAUCAUUUGUUACACCAAUCCCAAUACUUCUUUUUGUGAUCAAAAGUUAAUUGAAUCUUAAGAAAUAUCCUUACAAGAGAGUGAGACAACCCACUCUGGAAACAAGCAAAAGAACACUGAGACAUCCUAGACUUAAUGGCAAAUUGUGCCAACUCAUGCGCCAACACAUUCUGGUCCCUACUGAUCUUGAUCACUUUUAGACGGUUCAAUUGAUCACCAACUUCUCGCAUCUCCUCGAUAAUUUGCCACAGCUGUGAACAAUCGCGCCCAUUGCCUGAAGCUUGGACACCACCGACUGACAACCAGACUCAAGGAUCAUCGUUAUUCCAGGCCAUCUAAGUGCCAUGUGGACACCCUUCAAACAUGCUUUAGCUUCAGCUUCUUCUGCAUCCCUACAAUGGAAAAUGAUGCGCCAAACAAUUAGUUGCAACACUCGCUUCUAAUCACAAAUCACCACAGCCACCAUAGUAGCUUUCCCGCCCAAUUAACUGAAAGCGGCAUCAACAUUAAUCUUGAGAUAACCCUGGAAAAGUGGCUUCUAACAUUUUACCCUUAGCGGGCAAGACUUCCUAGUGCCACUAUUCGCCUAAACGGCUAUUUAGACCAUUUAAACACCAUGUAAACGCUACACAAUGGUACGCCGUUUCGGUUUAAUCAUUUGUUUAGCCCGUUUAAUUAGCUGUUUAGCCCGUUGAAUAGACUAUUUAGCUUGGCUAAAUGGCAGGUGACCGACUGUUUACCAUUUAGUGUUCAGAAAAACAUAAAGUGCAAAGUGCCUCCUGUAAUGUCCAGACUAUGCUUCCCCUUCGGAUCCUCAACCUCCCCCAGUUGCCGGAUAUUCAAUAGUGAAUGCAGAUCAAGAGAUUUUGGAAUAUGAACGAGGCUCUGUUAAACCCGAGUAACAGCACCGCUGAUAACCUCGACACCGUUCCAGCUCAAUGGUACAAUUUUCUAAACCAUUAUGGUGUAUAUUGAUUUUAAGAAUAGCACGUUCUAUUUAAUUUCUACUGUAAUCGUGCGUAUUACCUCUGUUAUGAACUUAUGAUUUAUAUUCAGAAUAUAAUCUUGCAAAUACCCUGCCGAAUUUGACUGGGAACAUAAACCUACUAUGAUGUCGUAGUGAUCUAGCAUUGACGGGCUAGCAAACAUAUUUCACGUUAGGCCGAGAGCAAGUGUGCAAGCAAUGCCUGCAGGCCAUUGGAGUCAGAAACUUGAAGCGUCAUCAUGACGGUUUUUUGACGGAACAGGGGUUUCCCCCGUUGUGAACAAGUCCCUAUUAUAAAUCUAUUAUAAAUCUAGGGUCUUGAUUCAAAAAAAUUAACUCUAACCCACCUUCUACUUGGGCUCCCAUUUUCUAUGUCAUCCUAAAUUAUAGUUUCAACUCCUCACAUCUAGAACCCCCUAUCCUACUUGUUUAGGAGGUGGGUUGGAGUUGAGUCUUAAUUUGAGCUCCUACUUUUUUUUAUCAUAGCAUGUAAAUAAAAAUUUAAGAGAUUAAUUUAGGGAUUUGGGUUGGAAUUGCUCUUAGGAAACCACUCUAGUCUUCCGGGCCUGCUUUUUGCUGAAUGAUCCGGAUCUUACGCGGCACGAGUCCAUAGAGCGUCUUGUGCCGGAAAGAGCCCGUGACAUUUUUUCUAGCAUGGUGGCCAGCUCCAUCAGCGCACGUAGUGAAAACCAUAUAGCUUAGCUUGGUACAAUGGUACGCCAGCUGCGUGGCUGCGUGCAUAUCCUGCGGGGUUCUGGAUAAUUUUAACGUUAUUUUUUUGAAUGCGAUUGAUGCGAACGGCGGCACAGUUUUUUUAGAUAAUGGAUAUAAAAUCCGGCCUCUACAUCGGAGGAUGUACACAGCCCAAAACGGCGGCACAGUUGUUGAGUUAGUCUUGGUACUAUACUUAAAACAGAACUUUCUUGGAGCUUUAAUGCUGCUAAGCUUAGAUAUAUAUAACUGAUUCAGCUAUCAUUCUUCUUAGAACCAGCAGGCGAGUUGCAUAUCUCCUUUCAAUUUCAGUAUGAUAGAUUCUGGGCUUAUUCGACUGCCGCUGCAGCUAUACUGACAUUUUUUGGUUUGCUCCUGACCGGAGCUGCCGGGCGCAUGUGGGCUCCCUCGGAUGCCUGGAGUCAAGAUUGGAUGCCUGGCAGGCAUAUCUAUCUGGCAGGCACCAACCAAACAGGCUAAAUUGAUCUCUGCAGCAGGUCGUGGAGCCAAAAUAUGUGUAGUGUAGCCGAUCAGCUUGCAACGUGGCCUGAAAGAGCAAUCGCUCUAGAUUAUAUAUACACCAUAUAUAGAAGGAUUCAUACGGCAAUUAGAAUGGCAAAGAAAAUAUAGAUGGCAACACUUUCUACUAUUAUUCUCUUUGUUUUAAAUUGUAAGUUAUUUUGACUUUUUCCUCGAAUAUACAAAAGAUUUGUGCAUCAUUAUCAUUAACAUACAAGAAGUUUAAACAUACAAAUUAAACGGCUUGCUUUACCCCCCCCCCCCUAGGUGGUCUAGAGUUACAGUAGAAAACCGGAUAGUUUCUAGGUUUAUGUUAAGCUAUGCGGUCUAAGUCGAGCCCUUGCAUCAUCGCUGCUGGUUGCGAGACCCUAGUAUUUGACGUUGGAAGCGUUUGACCCGGUGUUGAAAAACUCCUCUUAGGUCUUCUUUUGUGAUGUGCUUGGUGUUGAAAGCCCUUGGUCAUAUUUAUAUGCUGCAUGAUUACGACUUCACCUCUUUUCGACGCUAACACCAAAGAGAGGCUAUGUUCCACUAGACGUUUGCUUUGCAACGGGAGUACUGACUGGUUAGUGGCUGUCAAUUGCAUGGGAGGCUAUCAUAUGAGAGUUCACCUUGCGAAGCACUCGCUCGGUGAAGCUCUUGAAGCGCUAGGCGGCGGAGGAAUAGUCCUCCUCGGCUCCUCAGUGGUGUAUACUGGUGCACAGAACCAGCGUCAACCAAAGACAAGGCCGGCCUAUAGCCUAGUGGAGGCGCCUCUAGUAGAGUAUCCUGGGCUGAGCCUUACCCUAGCUCUGGCGACAGUGAAGGUGAGUCUGCUGCCCAUUAAGUGGGGCACCGGGGGAUGCUCAUGGCUACCGUCUUCAUCAAGAGAGCGUUUGCACAACAUCCAAAGUUCUUUUGACCAACUAAAGUGGUGCGCUAGACCGAUACCUGCUACCUCUCCGAAAGAGUGCAGGUGCAUGCAUUGGUGGUCUCCAUCGAGACUUCAUCAUGCAGGGAAGCUGCUGCGAGAGCUAGAGGCAGAGGCCCAUGGUCCAGGUGGCAUUGACGCUACUACAGAACAGGCCUUUGGUCACUUGCCCAAAAUGAACAAUAAUCUCGGCCAAAACAGAGUCCGGGACAAAAACAUAUUUAGUCCCGGUUGUUCUCACCAACCGGGACAAAAGCCAAGCCUUUAGUGAGGUGGCGAGCUCUUCCAGCAUCAGGUCGCGAUAUCUCGAUCGACCCGUCUUGCUUUCGGGCUCAUCAAUGGGUUAGGCCCAAAAAAGGUCCUUCUGGGUCUAAACUUGAGGGUCAGUUCGUCGUGGCUAACGCAUGUCACGACUAUGACAAAGACAUCGACUAGGGUUAGAUACAUAUCUUUUGGUAUAAAUCUAGAUAUAUAUUAGGUGUAGAUAUAAAACAAUAAACAUAUAUUUAAAAGCGCUGAUGCGCCCCACCUGCUGAUCAACCAAGUGUACUUCGGCCAUGACUACUACCUUGUGAAUGAUUUACCUUUCGAAACAAAGGGUACAAACUAUGGAGCCUCCUCUGCUACGUGAUGGUUGUCAUCAAAAUUGUCGCGUGCUCGCAAAUUGAAAUUUGUUAUCACAAUCAGCUGGUAGUGGCAACCGGUAUUGAUCCCUUCAAAACUCUGAAAAGUGGCCAAUUUGUCUUCAUUGAGAUUUGAGAUCACAUUCAGCCAUAUAUGCAGCGUUUGACGCCUGAAAGUCUGAAGAUCCACAUCCAUAAAGAUGAGCUGCUUUUUCUCAAGUUCGAGAGCGCGCACUACUGCAGAAGGCUAUGCAUCUCUCGCAUUUGCAAGCACCGCAACUCUUAUCUCUCUGUAUGAAACGCGUGUCAUUUCACACAUAUUUAAGCACAAUUAUUCGUCUGACCUCUCUCUUUCUAUUUUUUACAAUUCAGGGGGCGGUCAAAUGGAACGCAGUGCACGACUACAAGCUCAAGUUGUGAUUUUUGUGAUUUGUGAAUCCCGGCCGGAUAACACUUAAUAGCACCAAGUGAUGAAUCUUCAGAAGAUAGCUCUCACACGACUGAAAAGACACGCACUGAGACUCACAUUGGACGUUAGUUCAAACCAAAAAAAAAAGACACAUUGGACUGAUCCAAUCGGGUGGAUCACAGGAACAUUUAACCUAAAAAGGUUGUGCCCAGUGACUAGGUUAGCUUAUCCGAGCAUCAUCGAUCUUUGAUUAGACCUGCAUGACCUACCGAGGGGUUAUUAAGUGGUUAAAGACGGUGCAAAUUAAUAAAACUUUUCGAGAGGCCUUUCAAUUCGUUGCUUGGGUAACCGCGUUGUAGGUAAUAUAGGUGCUUUGUUUAGAGCAUCUCCAGCACUACUAUCUAAAACACACUAUCUAUUUUUCUAUUUGGAUAACCACCUAUUUUCAUACUACCUAUAUUUUGCUCCCAACUCCAACAACACUACCUAAAUCAGACUACCCAGAUUAAUCCUAACGAGAAUGAUGUGUGGAUCCCAUAUGUCAUCCUCUUCCUUGUCUCUUUGUCAUAGACAUACUCGGCCAUGGCAGGGAGGGGGAGGGGCGCAUUGGACGGAGUCGCAUAGCAUUGCCGCGGCCAUGGCGGGGAGACACGCUUGUGGGGGAGGGGCGCAUUGGAUGGGGAGGGCCGCCAGAGUCGCACGGGAACCUCACGGCCAUGGCAGGACGGGCGCCGUCAUGCAUCUAUACGGGGGUAGCAAGCCACGCCAGGGCAGCGGAACAUGGGGAUGUUGCGCCGUCGUGUGUCCGCGGGGGCAGCAGGCUGCGUCGGGGCAGGGAAAGGCGGGGAUGCCAGGCGGCUCGCCGAGAUGGUGGUGUGAGGGCUCACCGGAGAUAGGAGGGGAUGGUGGGGGAGGUCCAAGGAAGAUGCAGCACGUCGGUGGUGGCCGGAUUCGGCGAUGGCUCCCUGGGGAGGACCGGCGGCGGCACCCCAGAGGCGCUCCUUGUACUGGCGUCGUGUGGCCUCGGGUGCUUUCGAGUAUCUGCAGGAUGAAAAAGACAAAGGGAAUUUUAGGUAGUGGAAGGAGAAAUUUAUUGAGCCAAUAAAAAUAGAUAGUCUAAUAGGUAGCUUAUUGGAGACGUUUUUUUACUUCCACUACCAAAAUUUAGGAUAGAUAGCGAGGUUAGGUAGCUGGAGAUGCUCUUAGCGAGUAAGGUUUAAGGAUUCUUCUAUCUACCUAGCUUAGAUGCAUGUCUCCGUAGUGGAUAGGGGAUGCGGAGUAGAGGCUACUAGUUUCCUGAAUAUCUCGUUAUAUGGUCCAAGUCGCAUAGUACGUAGUGUACAAUAUGUCUGUUUUUUUAAGAUCCAGAACAUAGCCGAUAUAUAUUAUAUUAAUAAGGCAGUGAGAGAAUUACAUGCGUAAUAAGCAACGUAAACAGCUUCCUAGGUUUGACACACUGUCAAUCUUGAUGAAAAGAACUAAACGAAUUACUUACAUUUUCGGGGUACAACAAGAGACCAUAACAACUUGACCUCCAAAAACAACCUAUCUGCUGCUUUCUAACUCACCAAACUAACUAUACCAACUAUUUUCUUCCGACACCUAGAACUCACUGACCCAACUAACACAUGUGCAACCCAUUGGAAAAACAACAUGAUUCCGAACUGAAACACACCAAAUCUGCUCAAUUGGGGGACUUAGAUUAUAGCCAUCCCAACAAACCAACUACUUCUAAAACACAGCAUAUAUACAGGUGGGACCUAAUUUGCCUGAUGUGGCACUGACUGCUCCUCGAAUAAUCGUACAAUGCCUGAGCAGCAUCAUGGGACCUCCAUCUCGCCCACCCCCAACUCUGCUGCCAUUGCAGCUAGGGCCUUGGAGAGCUUCUUGUUGCCCAUCUUCGUCACAACCCUUAUUGCCUUGAUCGCCUGCUCAGGAGGUCCUGUCCAAAAAUGUCAACGAACUCCAAGACUACUUGUAUUCGGCACGCUCAUGCAUAUAUAAGCUUGCAUUGGGCGUGCUGUGCCACCGACACAGGGCGGGAUCGACCAAACGGAGGCUGGAGUGGGUGGGAGCUAGUGUCCUGCGUCCAUUCUGAAUCAGUGGUCCAACUUGCAAAGCGACUAGUUGGCAUAUACUACUAUAGUACUCCUUCCGUUCCAAAUUAUAAGUUAUUCUAAAAAUCUUGAAGAGUCAAAGUAUUUUUAAGUUUAACCAAAAAUAUAGAGAAAAAUAUAAAAAUUUAUGUCAUAAAAUAGGUACACUAUGAAAAUAUAACUAACAAAGAAUCUAAUGAUACUUGGUUGGUACCAAAAAUAUUAUUAUUUUGCUAUAUAAAUUUGGUCAAACUUAAAAAACUUUGACUCUCCAAGAUUCUUAAAAUGACUUAUAAUUUGGGACGGAGGGAGUACUAAGUUUUCGGAUUUAAUAAGACUUUGCUCAUUAUUUUUUAAAUUAAAUUAUACAAAUUAACAAAUAUCAAGAUCUAUAAAUAAAUAAUGCUAAAUGUUUAAUCUCGCAUGUAAUACGUGUGAGUCUUAGGAGUCAAAUCUCACAUAUAUAGCUAUAAAUAAAGGGUAAUAUCAAAAGACAAUGCAUAAAUUAUAUAACGUACUUAGUAUAAAAGAGAUAACCUUUGAUAGCAAACAACAGAUAGACAACUUCAAACUUCGAGUAUUAACUUCACUCUACGGGAUCGACUGGUUGAUCACAAGCCUAAACUCCUCUUGAGGUGUGGGGGAAAAUAGCAAGAGUGAGUCCAUGUCGAACUCCACGAGUAUAGCAACUAGAUUGUAUAGAUCCCACAAUCUCAUGAUCAAUGUGACAAAUAAUGUAAAGCAUUAAACAAUAAGUAAUGAGUAUCUUAACACAACAAGAAUCAUCACCCUUAAUGUAAGAAUCCCCAAGGCCGCUCCUGACCGUGAGCUCGACUAGUAUACUAGUUUUAACACUCUGCAGAGGUUGUACAUCUUUACCCAUGAGUCAUGAUUUACCCUUUCGCCCGAGAGAGCUAAUCUCUUAACCCCCUUCCUAGGGAGGUCGGCACGAAUCACUAUGAAGCCUUUCAAAAGUUCGUCCAACAUGUUAGGGCCACAAGGUUUCCCGGGCGCGCAGAUAUAGUUACCCUUCCAAAUGGCACAAUGACGCGCAACCUAUACACAUAGGGACAGAGGCUCGCACUAUACCCGUGUCGGUUAAGCCCCUCUAGCGUCCUUUCGGGUAACCUCUAAUAAGCUAGAAAAGGUCUUCAUACUGAGCUAAAGCCAGAGCUAUUGUAGCCCUCAUGGUUGCACUGUUGUCCCGGUUAUCACUUACAGAUCAAUCAUCAAGUGGAUAAAAAGCCAUUUUUAUCGUUUGUUGCUUAAACAUUAAUCAAGUCACAAGAUCAUGGUCAUAGAAAUAAAACCCAAAAGCUAUACUUGCCUUAAUCCAAUUGCUCUUGCUUAUCCUUUUGGUUUUGUUGGUCUUACUUGUUGCCAAAGCUCUGAUCUUGAUCACCAAAAACUCCUCUCCGACUAAACUCGAUCAUCGAUCAUCAAUACACAAACAACCGGAGACAAAUAUACACGAAGCAAACAAGGCUACAAUUAGAACAGUACACCAAUCAUAUAAAAACAGUAUGAAAAGUUUAUAAAAUGAUUCUACGCAUCGCUACGAUCACACGAACGUAAAGAUCAUGAAAAUCAGAGUUAAAACAAAGAAGAUAUGGAUUUUCUAAGAUUUUCUAUAGAGAAAUAAUUAAUUAAUUAGGGUCACAAAAUUAAAAAGUUUCAAACUGAGUAAAUAAUUUUACUAACAUGUAGAGCUCAUUAAUACGAAUCCAAAGCAAUUUGAAUGGGUCAAAAUGGAAUUAAAAUGAGUAUUUUAUGGGUAAAACAAACUCAGUGGCAAUUUUGUAAAUACAGAAAACAUAUUUUAAUUCAAACCGACAGACUUUAUGUUUUAAUAAAGAGAAAGCGUAUUUACUAAAACGUGCUUUGGACCGCGGGUUCCAUUUGGAAAAACUUCAAGGGCUCUUUAGAAAAAUCUACCCCCGAAGGGGUAUCUUUCUUUCCUGUCCCUUGAUCUCGGAUCCGACGGCUGAGAAACGUUUCACGGAGAGGGAGAGAGAGUGCCGGCCGACCACAGUAACUCCGUUCGGUGGCGCCAUGGCCGGGAGUGUUGGAGCUCGCGGGAGUCCGUGGUUAAAACGAUUUAGCGCAUCAUUCAACGAACCGAGGACAUGGGGACGAAGACAAGAAGAUCGCGAGCUCACCCGAGCACUUUCCACGAUCGGGGAGCGCUCAGAGUGGUCCGGUGAUGGGAGAUGGCGGCAACGAGCUUCUGCAAAUGUUCGGCGACGGUUAGCAUGACACAGAACGCGAGAGAGAAAGGAAGGAAGGGUUCGGUGGCUUCGCAGACCUUGAACGAAGCUUGGCAAGGGCUAGGACUCGCCCGAACGGCUGCAAAACGCGAUUUCCUCGGCCACGGUUGAGUUGAGCCCGACGGCGAGAUCCAGAUCAAGAACAUCGGCGUUAUAGAUGGCUUUGCAUCGUGUGCAGGGGAAAAGGGGGGCGCACAGAAGAGCCUGAGGCUUUAUAGGGGCUUGGUUUGGCUAUUAGGGAAAAGAAAUCCUGAGAAUCCGCGACCGGCUGCCUCCUGGAAGUGUCCCGGUCGGCCAUGGUGAGGAAGAAAGGUAGGAGAGAGAGGAGACCGACGUGUGAGUCUAGGUGGUCAGUGAGAGAGACCGAGGCCGACUCGUCAUACACAGAGAAAGAGAGAGGGCGCGGGGGGGGGGGGGGGGGGGAGAACUGGGCCGCGCCCUGGGCUGAAACGAGGGGGAGGCGCGCUGGCCCGAGGGGGCGCUGAGUCUGCGGGGAGGAGAACAGGCUGCGGCGGGGGGGGGGGGGGGGGGACUAGGCCUUCAGGCCAAGAGGGAGAGAAGGGGGAGGUUUUGUUUCUUCUUUUUUUUUCUUUUGAUGAAAACAUAUUUCAAAUCCAUUUUAAAAUCUAUUUGAAAUAUUUUCAAACUUUGGUCAAAAUCACUCAUCUCAAAAAUAAAAUGCACCAGCAUGAUUUACACACAAUUGUUGCUAAGCCUUAUGAUAAAUUUUAUUUUAAAGAAAAAUAUUAUUUUUCCUACGUUCCAUGAGCACAAAAAUAAAAAAUUAAAUUAUUUUUCAUCUAUUUCCAAAAGAGAAAAAUUUAGGGUGUUACAUCGCAUAAGAAAUGGAUGGCCAUUUUGGUCUUCAUUAUUGUGAGGUUGAGAAAUGCACAAGCUAUAGGAACGCUCUGAACUAAGAUAUAUAUACGGAGUAUGUCUUCAUUAUUCUAAUUUAACCCUUUUUCAUCAAACUCAUAUUUAUACUUCUACACGCUAAAGAAUUAUCUUUAGACCCUGAGCUCGAUGCCAUAGCCUACUGUGUCGAGGUAACAUAUAUGUCAUGGUGCCAUUUGUCAUGGCGUCAAGGUUGGAGAUCAGGGCUGUCGUGGCUGGUGACAUGGCGCUGAUGUAGCCUGAACCGCGGCACAUAGCGCUAAGUUCUCAUGACCUAAACAACAUAAAAUCUUACCAUGCAUGAAUUGAAAGGGAGCGUAUGCUACGGAAACCAGCUUCGUAUGCAAACUAUGCAAACUCUCAUCAGGAGCGUAGGAUGAUCAUCCGAUGGUUAGAGGCAAUUGUGGGAUAUUUUUCACUUAAACCCCCCACUCAUUCUAUCCUAAUUAAUUCUUUUGCAAAUCAACUCCCUGAAACCCAGCAGAACCCAUGCCGCCGUCACACGCGCGAGGAACACCGUCGCCCCGUCACCUACGCGCGAGGAACGCCGCUCCUGUUCGCCCGGUUCGCAUACACGCCGUCGGCAGCAGUAAUGGCAGCAGCAACACUUCUCAAAAAAAAUGGCAGCAUAAUGGCAGUAGCAAUACGACAAUUCAUCUUAGUACAAAAACAAUUCAUCUCCCGGCCGUCGGAAACCAUCACAAUGAGGGCUUCAAGAUGAUCCAUGACGGCGUCCAGGCAGCAGUGGGCGGAAGCGGCGUUCGUUCACGCUGCCCUGGCUGGCAAGCAGCGCGGCCGACAGGAGGCGGCUGUGGGCUCCGCUGCGAGGGUUCUCUUCUACCCGAUGCUGCUGUACAACGUGGUGCGGGAUCCAGGCCGAGUUCCGGUGGUGGGACAAGAUCGAUCAGGUUCGUUACUGGUUCUUUCUCCUCUCUCCUCUCUAAUAGUCUCGUGAGCGAGAGAUAGGAUUAAGGUUUUGAGUUGAGAAUAUGGUAGGGUCACGGUGUUUCCAUGGGAGGGCUUCUGGGGUUUAAUUUGCAAAAGGAGAGAUUAGGGAGGGAUGAGUGGGAGGAGUUAAUUGCUAAUCUCUAACACAUUAGCUCUAUCCAUCGGAUCUAGAUCUAACGAUUCACGUGCGAGUUUCUAUAGUUUUCACGACAAGCUGGUUUCCGUAGUAUACGCUUCCGAAUUGAAAUGGCUAUUAUUGGUGAGCUACGCGCGCGCUGCAGAUGCUCUCAGAUAAUCCCGCUCGCCCGUGGUCGUGCCAGGCCGGUCGUGCUUUUUGUUGUGCUAGCUUGUGCGGCGGCGGCGGCGGCUAUAGGCCACAGCCACGCACCUUUCCAUGCCGACGGAUGGGCUGAAAAAGGCGCUUCCGAUAUGGCGAUAUGGAUAUGCAUGGAUCGAACGAUGAGGUCAUUCUCUCGGAGAGCAAGAGAUGAUUAUCAUGCAAGGAGUAAUUAACAUCUACCUCUGCCUUAAUUUUGACAGAAUUAUUGAACAUCCAAAUCUCAGUGCUACACAGCCCGUAAGCUAAGCCCAGGGCAAGAAACGCAUAUGCGCCGAGCCGCCAACUCGAGGCGAACUUAUAUAUGGCCGUGGGCGGCGACGAUGAGGACGUGAAAUAAGCCUUGCCUGCUCCUCGUUAUUAUUAUUAAAAUUUAGUGACGCAGACCAUCGACUAAGAAACACAAAAAGCGUACUAAUCCGAAGCAGAUGAUGCCCAUCCACAUCAUCCACACAAGUUUAAGUCGUUUCCACGUAAGCAGGCAAAAGGCGCGCCAUGCAUGCACCUAUCUAGGCACGUACGAGGCCUCUAUAUAAGACCUGUGUUCUGAAUCGUAAAUCUUGCACAGGAACGAUAGCUAGCUAACUCGAGUACACUAGCUUGAGCUGAAAAAUCGAGGCAGAAAUUAAACAUGGCAAGAACCGGCGCGAGGCAACUUCUCUGCGUCGGGCUGCUGCUCACCGCCGUCGUGCUCGUGCAGCACACCUGUUCGGCCCGUCUGCUGCAGCGAGAGGUGCCGGCGGCGGCGGCGGAGGAGGGUUCAGCUGGCGGCCUCCUGCACGCGGCCGCCGUGCAGGUUCACGUGGAUGCCGGCGCGGCGGCGUUUGCCAACGACGACGGCGCGGCGCAAGAUCAGGGAGGUGACGCCGCCGCCGGCAUCGCCGUGCCAUACGAGAAUAAGCGUCUGAGCCCCGGAGGCCCAGAUCCCCAGCAUCACUAACAACGGUAGCCUGAUCAUUAUAUAUCAACGCAAAUCGAUCGUUUCGUUCAGUUCAGUCACCUCACUGAUCCAGCAAGAAUUGAAAGAAAAGUUCAUAGAGUAUGGGCUCGUUUGCAGCUUCUUUUUAUUUUAAAGAUAAAGAAAUAAGAAGAUGUGUCAAAAUCCUCUGGCCUCUACAUUACAGUACGAGUUAUAAUUGCGAGACGUCCCAACGUAUGUAUCCUUGGAUUGUACUGAAUGAUUACUGGUAUGAUAUUACAUUUCCUGUUUAUUUUCCACCGUAUGUAUGUCUGAACAUGGAUAGACCAGUUCACUGUUUUGGGGGGUGGGGGCACUGGUACAGCAGAUCUGCGCUUGCACCAUGCAACUCAUCAAUAACCUUUUAUCGCCAU
This 69701-nucleotide long non-coding RNA is filed under the name Sorghum bicolor (sorghum). RNAcentral's name for it is "long non-coding RNA (SBIC_LNC016743)". The stretch from base 29675 to 29781 matches the Rfam family "MIR5565 microRNA precursor family". Lineage: Eukaryota; Viridiplantae; Streptophyta; Magnoliopsida; Poales; Poaceae. The record is from RNAcentral.